Molecule: long non-coding RNA, 84542 nt
Filed under: Medicago truncatula (barrel medic)
Lineage: Eukaryota; Viridiplantae; Streptophyta; Magnoliopsida; Fabales; Fabaceae
Description: long non-coding RNA (MTRU_LNC001359)
Source: RNAcentral
AUUGCCUACAGAUAUGGCCUAAGUAAGUGCUUAUAAAGGUUGGGUAGUCCUCAUCUUACAACCCAGCUUUGCCGGAUUGAGCUAGGCUCAAGCUCAACCAAAUUAUAUGAUGGUAUCGGAGUGUAUCCUAUUCUAGAUCCAUUGUCCAUGCUUCCGGCCCAUCGGGUUUGGUCAUGAGGGGCGGUUGGAAAUUCCGCCUUAAUUGGCAGUUAAUUAAGGUUAUAAAUCAGAAGUAAUUUACUUCCCUGAAAUCAAUGAGAAAAUAUUAUAAUAUUGCCCAUGUAGAAUAUGCAAUCAAGUACUAACAUUAGUUUAGUGUCUAGUCAUUGUCCAUACAAUUAGUAAGGCCCAAAUUCAUUGUAUAUAAGUUAUAUUAUACCAAGUAAUUAGGGAAAUUAAGUUUCAGUAUUAUCAGAUUGAUAUGUAUUCAGUGUCUAUGAUGUAAUUUUAUAGUGAUCAUCUCCCUUUUGAUUAUCUCUUACCAAUUCACAUAUGCAAAUUACAUUCAAUCAAAAAGAAAAAUAUAUAAUUCACAUCCAUGGCCAAAGUAUUUCAAGCAGUCGCAAUAUUUUAUCGAAUUCGAAUAAAACAUGGCAAUCUGAAAAGAAAAUGUUGAACAGAUUAUUGCUUACCUCAGUUGAACGAAGUCCCCAGGUAAAACGGCGAUGUUUAGAGUUAGCUGCUUUUGAAUCCCAUCCUCUAUAUUCAUACAAGCUAGUGGAUGUAUAUACACAUCUUGGAACUUUUUGAAAGGAGGACUCUAAUGGAACAUUGCCGCAUGUUACCACCUUCAAAAGUUACAAUAUAUCAAUGGUUUAUUUCCAUCAAUCAUUCAUAUUUUGAAAUAAAAACUAUUCAAGUAAUUGAUAUCUGUUUCAUAAAAAACACUUAAUGAACUAAUCCAUGGAUGAAUGAGAAAAAUACAGUCAAACAAUGUGUGGCAAGUGUUGGAUGUGUGUGUAUUUGGACUGUGCUUUUGCUAUUUCUACAUGUUUAUUUGAUUGUAGUACACAUGUAUAAGUCGAAAAUAAAAUACAUACCCCAGAAACUUUCACAAACUGUCCAUUCUUGGCUGUCCUCAGCUCUGCAUCGGGAUAUUGAGAAAUGAAACCAACAAUAGCUUUCCUUCCACGACAACUAUUCCAAGUGAAUAAUGCCGCUACCGCAGCAAAAAGAAUUACUACAACAAUAAGGAGUAUGGCAUUGUGGACAGCUCCAAGAAUAAAACCUCCAGCAAUGAAUCCCAUAACAAAAAUCAGAAUCACAGACCACAAUAUUGGCUUUGGGAAGUUCUUCCUGAAGGAAUAUUCAUCAUCCACACUGAGAGUAGUCACAGCUGGAUUAUGAACAACAGAAGCACUAUUUAAUUUCAUUGACCCUAAGGACUCUAAUGGACCAGAAACCUUCCUUGGAGCCCCAGAGGAAUUCAGCGGGCCAGAUGUAAUCAAACCAGUUGUUGGAAGAACUGGAGGUAUUGGACCCGAGUUUUGGCGUGUGCCACCACCUGAUUGAGGACCAGAGGACUUCUUAACCGGUUCCCCAUGUUUAUUCAACGGACCUGAGUUUGUCCUUUUCAUUGAGGCUGAAGUAGACAUGCCUGCAGCAGAUAGAUUACCUGACGUGACAUACGCCGAACGAGCUGCUGCAUUUUGCAUAAUAGGUCCAGAGUGCGAAGCAGCGCCAGCAAACGAUCCAGUCCUUGAAGGAGCGUUAUUUAAUGGACCAGAUUUUCUAGAUUUGGAACCAUCCAUAGGGAUAUCAAACAUUUUCCCUAAUUCUCCUGACUUCUUGAUGUCACCGCCGGUAUAAGGCAUAGCAACUGAGCUCAUUGUUGGAGUCCUUUCUUUCGGCUGUUCAGGACGGCCCGAUACAUACAGGCCAUUGCUUAGCUGAUGAGAUGGGAACCUCGAACCCAUCACAGAUAUCUUUUCAAAUGAGCCCAAAAGAAGCAACUGAAUAAGAAACCGUACUAGUUGGCUUCGCUGAUGCAGUACUCAAAGUAACACUGCAAAACAAUGGCACCUAAAAAAGAUUGAAACAGAAUUUAGACUUAUCUGGAGACUCUGAUUUGCAGAUACUAUAGAAAUCAUAAGAAGUGAUAUUCUUUUUCCUUAGACUAUAAAUAAGAUGAAUCACAUUCAGCUAAAGAAACCAGAUUAAAACUGCAAUUAGAAUUAUCAUAAUAACAAUGCUGGAUUUUCAGGUACAUGAUUGAAUACAUUGUGACACACAAAAAUACAAAGAAGAAUAUAAAAUUAAACUUAAAGUUACAAAAAAAUCAAAUAAAUAUAUAGAAUUGAAAUUGAAAGGAAAGUUAUACAUAAAAACAAAAAAAAAAAAAACCUUAAUUAAAAAUGAUGGUAAAGUAAGAAUGAAGAAAAGGUAAAAGAAAGAAAGGGACAGUUAACCAUCCUAAGUAAAAUUAGUUAGAUAGAUCUAAAGGAAAGAGAAAUGGAUCUUCCUGAAAAUGUAAACAUGUUGUGAGAUCCAUUCAUAAAUCAACAUUGAGUUGAAACUUGUAAAAUUAAAAAUAAAACCCAAGUUAGUUUAAUUACAAUGUGCAAAACAAAUACCCAAAAAGCCAUAAUUUGAAGAUCUGAGAAAAAUGAGAAUGAAUAUAUAGAUAUUGUACCUGAAGAGAAGAUUUAGAAUGAAGAAGAGUAGCGAUGGUGUUGCUGAGUUUGAGAUCCCAUUAUUGUCUUUUCUCUUUCUCUUUCUCUCACUCUUCUUCACACUUGAGUUGAGUUGAAAGAAACUUCACCUCUUUUUUAUUUUCUCUUUCUCUCUCUCUCACAAAGCAAAAUGACCACUACUAUAAUAAAAGUUAAAAAAAUCUCUCUUUCUCUCUCUUAAAAACAAAAAAAAAAAACAGGUGCUGCAACAACUGGUAGGUUGUCUAGUCCAGCAAAAACCACCAAACCAAGCAACAUAUAAUUUAUUUAUUUAUUAAUUAACACAUAAUCAUCCUUCCUUUUCUUUUCAUUCAUUCAUUAAUCUUAAUCUUAAUUCGUAAUAUUAACAACCACCAACGUUUUCCUUUCUUUCUGUGUUUUUAAACGUAUAUCUUUUUUAGCUCUAUUUGGUAAAAAGCAUUAAGUGAUAGUUCAUAACUAAUUAAUUGAUUGAAGAUGAAUUUACGAUUUGAUCAAUUGAGUGAUGCUCGGGCCAUUUCAAAUUAUAAAAAUCAUUUUAUAUUUCAUUUAUCUUUUUGAUAUCAUUAAUUAAAGAUAAUUUUGUAAAUAAAUUAUAAUUUUUUUCUCAUAUAAAAAAAGUACCAAACAAUAUAAAUUAUUAUUAAUGUGAAAUUACCAAAACGAUUUAUAAUUUGCUACAAAGAAAAGUAAUUGACAGCAAAUACGUUAGUGGAUUAAUUUAUAUUGUUUGGUAAAUUCAUUGACUAAUAAAUAUUUUCUUUAGAGUAAUGAAUGAGUAAUAAAUAUGAAUCACAUAAAAGAUAUUUUUAAUUAAUAUUUACUUUUUUCCAAUUAAGAUAACAAAGAGUAAAAUGACGAAAUCUAUAAACUCGAGCUAUUUUUUUUUUAGGAGAAACUAAGAUAAAGCAGCUUAACAAAGCAUAUUAUAAGCCUUUGGGAACAAAUUUUUUACCACACAAAUCUAUUGUGAUAUAUAAGCUAUAAGUUUCAAGUUCCAACAUUGUCUUAUUAAAUGAAGUUUUUUUAAUCAGAUAUCCUCUGCAUAUAAUUGGAUACACUAAUCCUUGAGUUAGAUACGACUUCAAUAAGUAACAAAAUUAUCUCUAAAAAAUUAACACGUGUUAUAAUAUAAUAGUAAGAUUUUAUUAACCAUUAGUCAAUUUAUGCAUUAUUUAUUUAAUUAAUCCCAUGAACAAAUAUUUUGAGUAAAAAAAAAGUAUCUCAUCUAGCAGAAAAGGCAUAAGGGCAAAAUGAAGGGUCCAUGCUAAGUUAACUCCACAAACAAAUACAUAUUUUCUUGAAUGAAAAGACUGAUUUAUUUUGUUAUACAACUUUGCAUAAGUGGAUGGACUAAACUUUUCUUGCUUAGAUUUACUUGAUAUAUUUUAUUUCCUAUCUACCACGAUAUUUAUCAUACGUUUUUUUACGGCUCAAAAUGGUUUUAUUACCUUUGGGAUUUUUGUCUUUAUCAACCUCAAAAGAUGACCUUAAUAAGUUGAAGAUUUUUACACUCUUUGGUAAAGCUUUAUUCUACAAACAAUGGUUGUACGGGAAUACGAGUAGUUUGAUUUGAAAAAUAUCUCCUUUAAAAUCUAUUAUGGGACUCUGUUUCAUGGUCAAAAUUUCAUUGUGCAGUAUAAUAUUAUUAAAAAUGGCAAACUUACGAGAACAAAAUUCAAUUACAAAUAUUUUUAUCAAAUUUGUGUGGAUUCUUUCAUUCAAAUCACACCUUUUUCAAACUCUCGAUACUUAUGUAAGAUGACGUUGAAAUUCAUUCUUAAACGGGUGCAAUUACAAAUUAUUACGUGCGAGUAUAGAUAAAAAUUAAAUUACAACCAUAUUUUUAUGUAUGCUUAAAAGAAACAUUUUAGCUAUUGAUAUAUUAGACGGUGAUUCGGCAAAUAGUUCUUGACAAUGAUUCUCGUUUCUUUAAGUAAUUACGCUAAAUAAUGAACUAUAAUAUUUUUUAUUUAUGCUUACAAAGAUCUUAUGUUUCAUUUUUUUUUUUGCUCUCUAGAUAGGUAAAUAGCAACCAACAUGGAUUAAUUAUAGUGAAAGGGAUAAAACUUUCAUUACAUUAGAAACUAAAAUUAUAUUUCAGUCGAAAGAGAUGCCAACAUUUAAUUUUUGACACACAUUUGAUAUGUCCAGCAUUAUCAUGGGGGAAAUUUAUGGAAAAGAAACGUAAGCGCAAGAACAAUAGCUAUUUUAAAACAUAAAGGUUAAAGGUUAAUUGUGAUACUUUGAAUAUAGUGAGAAGUGAAUUAGCCCUCCAACAUUAAAAUAAUCGAUUAGUAGUAUAUAAUAUUAUUAUUGACACAUCUUCGUAGCAUACCAACUGUGAUGUGAUUAGUAUAUGCGUCUUCUUAUCGUACCAACUGUAAUGUGAUUAAUAUAUGAUAAAUGCUAAUAAGUGUUUUCGAGUCUUUUUUUUUUUUUUAAGAAGUUAAAUUAGCUCAUCUAAAUUGUAUUAGAGAAAAUCGAAUCUGAGACUUUAAAGAGGAUCACACUCUCAGAUCCCAAAUCAAUACCACUAGACCAACUCAAAUAGGUUCUUUUCGAGUCAUUUUUUAAAGGUCUUAAUAAUAAAUUUUUAUGAAAAUUUGUAUAAAUAAUAUUUUUAUAAAUAAUAUUUUUUAAAUUUGAAAUGUUUAAAGAGUGUUUCGAAAACAUUCGUUAAAAAGACUUUUAGUAAUAUAAUAUAUGAUAUAUAUACCAUUACUGCAUAUUCUUAAAAAAAGGCUAAUAAAUACUUUGGUCCCUUAACUUAUUUUUGGAUUUCAAUUUGGUCCCCUAACUUUAAACUGUUUCAAUUUGGUCCCCUAAGUAUACAUCCGUUACCCAUUUUGGUCAUCUCGAUUAGUUUUUAACUUUAAAUAUCUAUAGUGGAUCAAUAGUGUAUGUGGUCUAUCAUAGACCUUAUUAAUUUUAAAUUUUAACCCUUUGAUUUAAAAAAAAAAAAAAGGAAAAGUUGGAUGAUGGAGCUUUAUUAUAUCCUACCAUGAACCAACCAUACCUACCUUUUCUUCAUUUUCUUCCCUUUUCUUCUCUUCAUCAUCUUCAACAUCAUAUCAUAUAUACAUAUAAACCCAGAAAAUCAUCAAUAUCAUGUUCGAUAUCUUUUCUGUCUAAACUCAAAUCGAACUUGACAAACACACACACAUUCCAUUUUCACCUUCAACUAACACUGAAAGCUUCAAUUUUUCUUUCUAAAACAAAAUCCCAAUUUUCCAAAGCUCAAAAAAAUUGUUCCCUUUGUCCAAAUCGUUCAACCCACACCCAAAAACAUUAAUCGUUCGCUUUUUAUUCUUCUUCUUUGCAAUCAAUGACACAUAGCAAGCAUAUGUUCUAUUUCUCCAUCGAUUUUCCUUGUAAUGGAUUCUAGAAUUAGGAUUUUUGCUUAUUCUCCAAAGUAAUAAUAUAGGGUUUGUAUCUUUAUCUUUUUAACUAUUGAUUUGCUUCCUAUUAGUACAAUCUCAUCAAUUUCUUAAAUUAGGUUCUUAUAUGGCGUAGGAGAAUUGUAAUUUUGAUGAUUUUACAUGUUCUUUUCAAAAGAGGGGUUAGGUUAUCAAUUAAUCUAUUGUUAAAAUUAAAUUGAAUCCUCGUUGAGAUUCUUUGAUGAAGUGAGUAAGUUCCUUGUUAAGAAAUUGAACCUUGGUACUUUUCUUAAGCAAAGAUGUGGUUAUAUAAACUGAAGCGAACAAAAAAUUUGCACACCCCUAGAGAUGAUGAUGAUAGUUUUGUUAUUAAUUGUUGUUGAUAAUUUCUGGAAUUUUUUGGGUUUUGUAUAAAGAUUGAUGAAGCUGAUGAUGAAAAAGAUGAAUGAAGAAGAUGAAGAUAUGAGGAAGGAGAAGAGAGAAGAUGAUGAAAGUAAAAAAAAUUAGGUGCUGACGGUUCACUAUUAAAUACAAUACAAUGGACAUGCAAUCAUAUGGUUAAAAUCAUAUCAAAAAAUUUAAACAUUAAAAAACCAACGGAGAUGACCACAAUAGUAAAUGGAGGAAGACUUAUGGGAUCAAAUUGAGACACUUUAUAGUUAGAGAACAAAAAAUAAAUUAAGGGAUCAAACGAUGUAUUAAGCCUUCCUUAAAAAAACGCAUAGAUGUAUUUGACUACCAUGCUUAACAAUAGAUGCAUCCGUAAUUUGCACCAUAUCUUUAUCCUCCCCGUUUUCGUAUAAAUUUUUUCCAACUUAUAAAAUAUUUUAUUUACCCUCCCCCUUUUCAUAUAAAUAUUUUCCAAAAUCCAAAGUAUAAAAACAACAUGAAUUCCAGAUUUUCUUUCAAAAAAAAAAAAAAAAACAAGAAUACUAUAUUUGCUUUGACCCAAUUCAAUAGAACGUUGCUGUAAUUAUUUAGCACUGGAUGUAGGAGGAGUAAGACAACUAGUUGCGUAAUUCCAAAGACAUCAUUUCUGUUGUUAUGAUUGUUGGAGCAAGUGCUUUUACUUGUUUCACUCGAAUCAGCUUUGCAAGUUGCCACUAAAAGAUUGUGAAUUUCGUUUUGAUAAAUUAUCAUUAUAUCACCUAAUAAAAGGAAGGACAUUAUUCUUGGAAAGAAGUCGGUCAUAUGCCUUCAAAGGUGAACCAUAUUUUCAAGCUUCAUUGUUCUCAACUUCUCAUUAAUAAUAUAUCAAAUGGAAAUAUUCGGAUCAACCAACCUUUGUUCUUUUGCAAGAGAUGCAUCCAUCUCAAACUGAAUAAGUAAUGACCAUUGCUUACUACUCUCAAUUAUGACUGAUCUUAUCAAUAUUGCAGUGCAUAGACAAUGAUUGUAUUUUGCAUGAAGCUUGUGUUGAAUCCUACUUAAUUGUGCAUCAUGCAAGUAGAACACAGUGAGUGAUACAGUUCAUCAGAGUGGCAUAACAAAUGUAAAUUAAAGACAAGAAAAUUACAUGUCUUGUUGCCCAUGCAUUCUUACAUCUAAAGUCUAGACAGUAAAAUACCAAUAUCUGAACAAAACACCUGUAUCUUGCAGAUACCCGAUCAUACAGAUAAGAUAAAUCAAUACAUGGAUCAAAUAAGCUGUAUUAAAUUCACGUAAAUGAUCCUUGAAAAAUCAGAGAACAAAUCCGGGUUUUCUGGAACCUAUAUUCUUGUCAGCAAUUUUGUAUUAUGUCAACUGGUACCAUUUUGUCAAGACACCAGAAGUGCAGGGACAAGAGUUCUCUGCCUUAUCCCCAGCUUGACAAGUUUUUCUACUGUUAUAUCAUAACUUAAGUUUUUCUGCUCUAAAAUCCGGGUUUUCUGGAACCUAAGUUUUUCUGGACAAGCAAAAAUCAGAGAAUAAAUCCAGAUUUUCUGGAACCUAAGUUUUCCUACGCUUAUCAAAGUGAUUAGUUGGAUCGUAUUAGAGGUUGUAGUUUACCUGGCUACUUAGGAAUGUAAUCAAAUUAUAUUAUAUAUGUACAGAUAUAUAGCCAGAAUUCUCUCACUCAGAGAUACAAGGGGUUCUGCUCUGAACUCAAUAAGGAACCGGAUUAUCUAAAUCGAAAUUGGCGCAGAUGGCAAAGCAUUCAUUGUGCAUCAUAAGUUCAUAACCAUUGUUGAACAUGUAUUUUAUAUUUAUGCAAGAGCAAGAUUACUAGCUUGCAAACUCUGCCCAGAGCUCAUAAUGAAUGAAUUUCAAUUAAAAUACAGCUAAACUAUCCAACCCAACAACAAAACACAACAUAUAUUAUUCGAAAAUAAAAAUCCAAUGCCUUCUUAACCACAUACAUAACUACCAAAAUAUACCAAUCUGAAAAUUACAUUGUAUUGUAUACAGAAACCAAACUUUAACCUAUGUUUCUCAAGAACCCACUUUUCUAAAUUCUGCCAAAACGUAGGAAGAAGAUUCUUUGUCGUUCAUGAAAACAUUCUUCAGUAGCCCACACCUGUUCAACCACAAAAUAAUAACAUCCAAAAUAUUUAAAAAUCACAACACAAGAUAUGAGAAUUAUCUAGAGAAGAUCACGUGCCACAGCACAGAUCUAGGGGAAAAAAUCGCACAAAAAUGUGAAAUUCUACCAUAAUUAGGAGAAAGCUUUCAUAGACAGAUAGAUAGAAGAUCCAAUAUUCAAAAUUAAAUGAUAAAAAAACAAUUAAGCAUACAGAACUUUUCAGACUCAAUGGCUAGCUAGCACACAUAAGCAAGAUAUAAGAGUAAACGCUCAAUUAGACUUCAACUUCAAGUACCACUACCUCCUACAUAGUCCCUAAACUAUAUAAGAUGAUUAGUCUCCGAUAUUUAAUAAGUAGCCACAAACAUUUUUGUUAAAUCCCUAUCACAUUAGUUAGUCCCUAAGAUCUUGUCAAAUGUCAAUAUAUAACAGUAGGGACUAACAAGAAAGAUUUAUCAAAACAUUAGAAACCAUUAUAAAACAUUAGAGAGUAGUACUUAGUAUUUUCAAAUCAUGCAGGACUGACUAACCAAGAGAAAGAGUGACAGCCUACACAGCACUACAUACACUUCAUAUGGAAGGUGUGCCUAACAUCCAACAAAUGUCAGUGUUGGACACAUUUGGUUAAACAUGCCUCCGACACAUUUGGUUAUAUUUGAGUCCGACACGUGUGAUUGCAUUUUCUCAAAUUAUUAACGUUGUCUAGUGUCUGUAUGUGUAUAUGUGCUUCAUAGGUGAUAACAAAAUUCGGGUCAAUGUGUAUAACAAACUGUCGAAAGGAUAUCCUCUACAAAUAACGUUACAAUAAAUCAAUUCCAUUUUCUCAAAUUAUUACUACUGACAUCAACAUAUCAAUGUCGAGCCUAGUGUAUAAUCAAUAGUGUCCCUCACACACGUGUCGGAAUGACAGAGACCAACACAUGUGGUUACAAAUUACAAUAUCUUACUUCCAUAUUCUAAAAUUAUUAUCAGUGUUUACAUGUCAACUUGUUACUAGUGUCCACGUGUCAGUGUUGAGUCUAGUGUUAGGGCUUUAUAAGUGACAACUAAACUUGGGGUUUACACAAACAUGUAAAAUGCAUACUUAAGAGACAAAAUUCAAUACAACCCAUCCAAUCAAAUACAACAACAACAAUCAAGUCUUAUCCAAGUAAGUGGGGGUCGGCUACAUGGAUCAAACAAUGACACAAUGUUAUAUAAUAUAACCAAUCUAUCCAAUCAAAUACAUACAAAAGAGUGAAAAUGAGAAAUGAAAAGGAAAGCAAAGAGGUAUAUAUGUAUGUAUGUAUACCUGUAGGGAUGGGAUGGGAUGGAAUCUAAACAGAAACAGUGAGGAGACCAGCAAGAGAACCCAAAACAGCAAAAGCAAGAAGAGGACUAAUAUCAAGAGUAUCAAAAACAGGUGGAACAAUAUUCCUAAACAAACUUAGAUAAGGAUCACAAAGAUCCCUAAUUGCAGACAAUGGUUGUCUUUCCCAUGGAAUGUUCGGAAACCAACUCAACAAAACCCUAACCAACAACACACCACUGUAAAUAUCCAACCAUUUCUUCAACCCCGCCGCUACAACCGUCAACGGCGUGUUCACCGUCCCCGACCUAGUAUUUUUCAUGACAGCGAAACAAAGCGACGCUGAUGAUGUUGCAAUUGAUGCACAUAGGUCUGGUGGUGGAAGAAUGUUGACGAAUGCUUUGACACAUAAAAGCGCGGUGGCGAAUAGGGUUGUAACUGUUCGAGUGGAACCAGAGAGAAGAACGUUGUUGCUUUCAUUGUUGAUGAGGGUGUUGGUUUUGUGGUUGAUUGAAAUAGAACAUGUUGUUCGGCGUUUGUGUUGAGGGUUGAUUAGAUUAUUAGGUUGGAAAGAGAGAAGACGAGAUGAAGGUGAGAAAUGGGAAGUUACAGUCAUACCCCCCAUACCCAAACCUAAACCCAUCGUUGCUGCUGCUGCUGCCAUUGACGCCAUUUCUUCUUGUUCUCCUUCUCCGGUUGUUGGUUUAGGGAUUAGGUGUUUUUGUCGCUCUUCACUCGGCCUAAAUUUUUUAUAUCGAUAAUAAUAUAUAAUAUAGAUAAAUAAAGUUUAGAUAGCUCUAGAAUCAAAAAUCAAAAUCAAAAUGAUUUUUUUAAGGAAAAAAUUGAAAAUGUUAUUCAACUAUAUUUUUAGGAUCCCAGUUUUUAUUUUUUAUUUUAAAAAGAGAAUAUUAAACAAUAUCCUAGAACAUCAAUCAAGGAGGAAUCAAAUAUAAUAGUAUGACAUUGAAAAAUCAUGUUGUCAAUGGAUCAGAAAUUUAUAAAAUGUAUUUUCAACAUAACAUUUUCUUUUUAACUUCUUUAAUCACUAGUUGGUAUACCCUUUAAAAAAAUAGUUAACAAAUUAAAUUGAACAAUAUCAACCAUUAAUUAACUAAUUGAAGGUAUAUCACUGGUAUGGACACCCGUGCCAAGCACGGGUUAGAAUUUCGUCAUAGUUGAGGGAUACAAUAUUAUGAUGUAUUUAUUGUCAGUUAAAUUCAAACGUGGGAUAAAACAAUGGAGGUUUAUUAACUAAUAAGCGGAAGAAGAAAAAAAAAAAACUAAUACUUAAGCAUGAAAGUUUUGGAUGAAGAUGCAGUAUCAUUCUCACUUGUGUAGUUGUUCCUUCUCAAAUGUGUCGAUCGACCGGUGCUGACUCCUCCAGAAAGUUCAACGAUGGUAUGUUAUUUAUGUUUAACAUUGCGGGGGAGAAGUUCUUGGUGGUGGAACACAGAUAUUGUGUCAAGUGUUAGUAAAAAUUUCACUUUGUAUGAAAUGAGGGGUGGAUCUAUGUUAGGCUAUGUGGGGCUAAAGCCCCACAUGCCCUUCCCUAUUUUUUUAUGUAUAUUAUAAAAAUGGUAAUAGUUAUUUUGAUCCCUGAAUAUGUAAUAAAUAGUCAUAAUAAUCUCUCAGUGUAUUAAAAUUAUAAAAUAAUACAUGAUUUUGUACUUUAUUAGUCAUAAUAAUCCCUGAAGUGACAAUAAAUAAGUAUAUUGAAGGACUAAUAUGACAAUAUCAAUGAAGUAUUUGAAUGUUAGGGACUAUUUUGACUAAUGAAGUGUGCAAUCAGAGACAAUUUAAAAUUUUAAUACAUUGAUGGACUAUUUUAGCCUCACAUGUAUCCAAUGUCUCGAUCUGUCUCGAUCUGUCUGUGGAUGCAAAAGUAAAUGUUAAGAAACAUAUAAGUGAGAUGAUCGAUAUACCUAAUACACUAAGAUUUUGGAUGAUGAUGUGCUGUCAAUUGUAUGAUUAACCUUAACAUAAUGUGAUGAUCCAACUCAUUGUAGUCUCCAUUAGAACUCUGGACUUUUUUUUUUUGUUACUGAACUCUGAACAUUAUGAUGAAUUGUUUUAUUAGUUUUUGGAUGUCAUUUAUUUAAUUUUAAUAUUAAAUUGAAGUAGAUGUUGAACAACAUAUAAGUUAUAUGACUCAUAUACCUACUACUUUAAGCUUUAGGGUGAAGAUGUGGUGUCUAAUUACUUGUUUGGUUUCUUUUAAUCUAAUGCGAUGAUCAAUCUCAAUGUAGGAUGCCUCGAAACUCACGACAAUAUGAUGAACUAUUUUUUUAGUUUUUGGAUGUCAUUUGUUUAAUUUUGGCUUAAUUACAAUUUUGGUUCUUCUAUUUUCACUCACUCACGGAAAUUGUCCUUCCAUUUCAAAAUUACACGGUCUUGGUGCCUCUUUCAGAUUUUUGAACUUAAAAAGGGUGAUAUGUCAUAUUUAAAUUAAAACUUUAAAGGAGUUUUCAUGUAAUUACAUGGGUAUUGAUUAUUCUACAUCAUCAGACUAAAUGCAAGGUCAUCUAAAAUAUGUCACAUCAUUGUUUUCUAGUCUAAAAAUAGCAAAAAGGGAUCAAAACAGUACUAAAAAAACAAAAAUUAAUGAGGGAUAACAUGAAAUCCCUCUCUAAUUAUGUUACUAAAUUUUGCGACCAAAGAAUUUAUGAGGGAUUUUAUUUUUUCCGUCACUAAUUUUGCAUUUCCUAGCAGUGAAGCUGAGUGAUUUUAAAAUGAACGGACCAAUUCAUGAGUUGCUGAAAAUAUGGUACUAAAUAUGCAAUUAAGUCUUUAACUUUUCAAUCUUAAAAUUUUAUUUUGAAUGUCAUUCUCUUUCUUGUGAAUUUUUCAUUCAACCUCAAUUAUUUCAAAUUUAUUUACUUUUGACCGUGUGUGGCAAAUGAUAAUGAAAAAUUGUCAAUGUGUUAUGUUGGGUUGAUAAAUAUAUGCUUAUUAGAUAUUUAAAAAUAUGCGGUGUUUUUUUAAUUGAAUCUAAUUUUUUGGUAAAAUAGUUGUCCAAAGAAUCUCCAACUCCUUGAAGAAACUCAUAAAUUUAUCAUACAACUCACACUGUUUUCUAUACCUUCACAAACAAAACACACAAUGAUUAGUUUUUUUUCUCAUUAUCUUUUCUCAUGUUCAAAUCUUUUUUUCGUAUCUUUUUUCUUACUUCUAAUUUUCUUUCUCUCUUCUCAUGUGAGAAAGAAACAUAAACAUCCCUCAAUGAAACCAUCACUAACCAACCUUUUUAAACAUAUGGUGUCUUCAUUUGAUAUUAUUUGACUAUGUCACGUAAUUAUGGACACAGAGAGUUGCAAACUUGAAUAAGAGAUGUUAAUGUGUCAAGCGUGAGUUAAAAUUCUAUGGUGGAUAGAAGAGUAGAUUUUGAAUAACAUAUAAGUGAGAUGACUCAUAUACAUACCACUGGCUUAAUGUUUUGUGUGAAUAUGUGAUAUCAAUCUCACUUGUAUGAUAUCUCUUAGUCUAAUAUGGUGAUAAAACUCAGUGUAAGAUCCAUUGGAAGUCCCAAAGUUAUGAAGAAUUGUUUUAUUAGCUUUUAUAUCUCAUUUUAUUUAAAAAAUUUAUCCUAAAUUUUGAUUAUUGAACGUCAUUCGCUUCCAUGCUAUUUUUUUAUUCAACCUCCCUUAUUUCAAAAUCCUUCACUUUAGGUCUUUUGUAGAAUCUAACAAUGGAAAAAUGCAUAUGUGUUCCACUGAAUUGACAAAAACAUACUUAUUAAAAAAUUUAAAUUGAUGUUGCAAUUCUUUAAUUGAGUCUAAUUUAUCGUAAAAUAAUUACCCCAAAACUCCUAAUUCUUCAACAAUCCCACAAAAUUACCAGCAACUCACAUUAUUCCACAUACUCUCAUGGAAAAAGCACACACUCAUUUUUUUUUCUUAUCAUUUCUCUCAUGUUAAAAUUCCUUUUUUAUUUAUUUCUUUUUCUGAUUCAUUUUCUCUAUACUCAUGAAAUAAAUGAAUAUAACCAUCUCUUCGUGAAACCCCAUCGACCAACCUUUUCUACCAUUUUGUGCCUCAAUAUUACUUUAUUUGGUUAUGUCACCAAAUUAUAGAUGUAGAAAGUCUCACAUUUAGGAGAGACAAGUUAAUUUGUCGUAUUUGAGUUAAAGUUUCAUAUUGGAUGCAAGAGUAUGUGGUCAAAAAAAAUAUAAGUGAGAUGACACAAAUAACUAAUGCCUUAAAAUUUUGGAUGAGGAUGUGGUGUUAGUUUCACUUUUAUGGAUGUUUUUACCCGAAUGUGAUUAUCCAACUCAGUUUAGGCCCCCUUGGAAGUCACAACAUUACGAUGAACUGUUUUGUUAGUUUUAGAUGUCAUUUGUUUAAUUUUUUAUCAUGUUAAAAUUUUAGUUUUCGAAUGUCAUUUGGUUUGACGCAAUUUUUUUAGUCAACCUUUAUUUUUUUUUUUUUAAAAUUAGUCAACCUUUAUUAUUUUAAAUUACUUCACCUUUGGUCUUUGGUGUCAUCUGAAAAUGAAAAAAUGUAGAUGUGUAAUGUUGAGUUGGCAAAAUACAUGCUUAUUAGACAUUUCAAGUGAAGAUGUGGUGUCAAUUUCACUUGUGUGAUUGCUCUUACCAUAAUAUGAUGUUCCGACCCAAUGUAGGUUUCCUCCGUAGUCCCAACAUUAUGACGAACUAAUUUACUGGUGUUUGGAUUUCAUUUUUUAUUUUGUAAAUUUAAUUAAGUAAAUGGUCCCUAUAAAUAUCCAAAAUUUCAUUUUUAGUCCAUACAAAAAUAAAUCGCACUUUUUAGUUUUUGUAAAAAAAUUCGUCAACAAUUUUAGUUUUUGUCAAGUUUUUUUAUCAACAUUCUUAGUCCCUUUAAAAUUUUCAGUCCGUGUUUUUGGUCCCUAAAAAUGCCAAAUAAAAAAGUUACAACGAUUAAAAAAAUGCAAUUUUUUUUUUUCAAGAAAUUAAAAAAAUAUCUUUAUAUUUAUAGGAAACAUUUACUUAAUUAACCAUUUUUUCGAUAAAACUUCAUUUGUGGAUGUCAAUCGCUUUCAUUCUAUUCUUCUAUUCAACCUCUAUUUUUUCAAACUCCUUCAUAUACUGUCUAUGAUGGGGUGUGACAAUGGAAAGUGCACAUGCGCUAUGAUGAGUUUACAAAAUACAUGUUUAUUAGAAAUUUUAAAAUGAUACAACGUUUUUUUUUAAUUAAGUCUAAUUUUUUGGUAAUAAUUACCCAAAAAAUUUCAACUCCUUCAACAAAACCACAUAAUUACCGAUAAUUCAAUCUAUUUUAUGUACUCUCACGGACAAAACACAUUACAUAUUUUUCACCUUAAUUUUUCUCUCAUGUUAAUUUUUUUUCUUCAUAUUUGUUUUAUUUUUCUUUCUAGUUUCUUUUCUCUAUUCUCAUAGAUGAAAGGAAUAUAAACCUUCCUUCAUGAAAUCACCAUCAAUCAACUUGUUUGAACAUGUUGUGUCUAAUUUUGACCUUAUUUGAUUACGUAACAUAAUUACGAACGUAGACAGACGCACAAUUGAUUAGGAUAUGUUAAUGUGUCAAAUGCGAGUUAAAAUUAUACAUUAGAUGAAAGAGUAGAUUUUGAGCAACAUAUAAGUCAGAUGACCAAAAUACCUAAUGUCUUAAGGUUUCAUGUGAAAAUAUGGUGUCAAUCUCAUUUGUAUGGUUGCUAUUGACCUAAUACGAUCAUCCAACCCGGUGAAAAAUCACCUAGAAAUCCCAACAUUAUGCCAACAUUAUGAUAAUUUAUUUUGUUAGUUUUCAGUUGUCAAUUGUUUAUUUUUUUAUCUUAAAAUUUAGUUAUUGGAUGCUAUUCUCUUUCAUGCUAUAUUUUUUUAUUCAACCUCAACUACUUCAAAUUCAUUCACUUUUAUUCCUUGGUGAAAUUUGACAAAGGAAAAAAGCAUAUGUGUGUUAUUGAAUUUGCAAAAUAAAUGCUUAUUAGAAAUUUAAAAUAACGUGACAUUUUUUUUAGUUAGUCUAAUUUUUUGGUUAAAUAUUUACUCAAAAAUCUCCAACUCCUUAAUCAAACCAGUAAAAUUAUAGGCAAUUCACUCUAUUCCUUUCACGCUCAUAGAAAAGCACACACUCCUUAUUUUCCUUAUCAUUUAUCUCAUGUUCAAAUUAUUUUUUUAUCUUCUCUCAUUUUCUAAUUUAUUUCAUAACUUUUCAUGAAAGAAAGGAACAUAAACCUACCUCCAUUAAAUCACCACUAACCCACUUUCUUUACCAUGAUAUGUCUUCAUCUAAUUUUAUUUGGCUUUGUUAUCAAAUCACAUAAGGGGAGAGUAUCACACUUAAAGGGAAAGAUGUUAAUAUGUCUUAUAUGAGUUAUACUUUCAAAUUAGAUGCAAGAGAAUACAGUGACAAAUAUAUAAGUGAGAUGAUCCAUAAAUCCAAUGCCUUUAAAAUUUGAAUGAAGAUGUGAUGUUAAUCUCGCUUGAUUAAUUGCUCUUAGUCUAAUGUGAUUAUGCAACUCAGUUUGCGCCAUUAAACAAAAUAGGUGCUCACCUUGUAUCAAACCUCUGCCUAAUCUAAAUCCAUCUAUAAAACUACCAUUAAACAAAAUCAUGCGUCUUUUUUAAAUCGAUCUUGCAUAGAAUAAACUUUUUCUUUAGCCCUUCCUGUAUCAUCCAUGACUUCAUUCACAAUAUAAAAAAAUUGUCGACCUUCACAAAUGUUAAUUGGGUAUCCAAAACGGCCUUCUCAAUAACUGUCUUCAAUCUAUUUGUUAGAACCUUCGUUAUAAGACUUUGUGAACGCAACCCACUAAAGAAGUAAGACAAAAAUCCGACAAACUUUGUUGACUAUCUUUUUUGGAGAUUAAGACUCUGUUUGGUAAAAAGAAGCUAUAAGUCAGCUGAUAGCUGAUAAGUUAGUUGAUAGCUGAAAAACUAGUUUAUAGUUGAUGACUGAUAGUUGAUAGCUUAUAGCUGAAAAACUCACUUAUUAAAAAUAAUGUGUUUGAUAAAAUUAAUUGUUGAAGUGACUGAUAAGUAUAAAAUGACAUAAAAAGACAUGUUUUUAUUUUGUUUUUUUUCUUCAUAAAUUACACAUGAUAUUUUUUACUAAAUGUAUUUCUUUUUAAUUAUUUUCAUCGACAAUAUGUUAAAAUAUAGUAGUACUUUAUGAAUUCAAUUUGACAUUUUUUAUUGAACAAUUUUUUUUUAUGAAUUUUAUUUAAUUAAAAUUGCUUUACUAUUUAUUGUAAACCAAAAAAAAAUAUGGAGCAACAAAAGUAUAAAAAGUGUGAGAUGACAUUUAAAAAGUUCCCUAAAACAAGUGUUAUAAAACGUCCAAUAAAAGAAAGUGAAAUCCUUGAGGAAAAAAAAAAAAAAGUGAAAUCAAACGUGGUUAGAACGUGGGUAGUUUUGUUUAUUAAAAAUUAAUAAGGUUAAAAUUGGAUGAAAGAAUAAAAAGCUACAAGUUAUAUGCUCAAAAGCUACUUGAAUUAGCUUUUCAAUAAGCUAGUCCAAUAAGUUAUAAGCUAGCUUUUUUGUGUUACCAAACACACCCAAAAUGGACAAGAAAAUUUAAAAAGCCAUACAUGGUAAACAUGGUUAGUUGAAGAAGAUAGUGGGUAGUUUUUUUUUAUUAUAAUAAAAUAAAAUAAAAUUAAGAAAAGGUUAAAAUGGGAAGAAAGUAUAAAAAGCUACAAGUUAUAAACUAAAAAGCUACUUGGAUUGGCUUCUUAAAAAACGCUAUAAGCUAAUGAGAAAAGCUUUUUACCAAACACGUCUCAUUUUAUCAAAACAAGCUUAUAAGCUAGCUUAUUUGUGUUACCAAACACAACCUAAAACGAUAAAGGUACAAUUUGAUAAUUUCAUCGUUUACAAUUUACACGAAACUCAUGCAGGAAUCUCAAAUAAUCACCUUUAUUAUUGCUCCAAUAUUCCUUCAAAAAUAAAAAAUAACUCCAUCUAACUUAAGACUUUUGUCGCUAUCAUAGUCUCUCAAAAUUGUUAAAUCUGAGAUUAAUUUUUAUACAAUGACAAUGCAAAACCUUUUUACAUGUGCAUUCAAUUCUAUCGUACAAGAUAAAUAUCUGUUGAGAUAUUUUAAAAAUAAACCACACGAAAUAGGAUUAAAGAAAUAAAAUCUAAAAUCUUUCAUUUGUCGAAGUUUAUUAGUGAUAAAAAUGAAAGAUACUAUGGAACCAAAAAAUCAAAAAACUUAAGAAACGACGUGAGUCGGGUUUGAAACCAAGUCAUAUAUUUACAUGUGUAAAUUAGACUAUUGUGAUUUUAUUUAUCUACUAAAAAGAAAAUCUUGCCACCGAUAUACCAUUUUUCGACUAAUACCUCAAAUUCGUCCUUGAAUUUUGAAAAAUCGGUCAAUUUCGUCCCUGAAUUUUGCGAAAUAUCAAAUUAGUUCCUGAAUUUACAAAAUGUCAAUCAAACCAGUCCCUCCGUUAAGUUGGUCUGUUAACAGAGGUGACGUGUCACGUUAACCUCUGACAAAACUUACCACGUCAGAUGUCACGCAAGCAGGGACCAAACUGAUUGAUUUACACAAAAUUUCGAAGGACGAAAUUGAUGUAUUUACACAAAAUUUCCAAGGACCAAAUUGAUGAAUUUUCAGAAAAUUGGCAACGACUCUUUCCCUUCUUUGUGAGUAACGACUCUUUCUCCACUUCUUCAUUAAAGGCUAUUUCUUCCCCAAAUAUAUAAAUUUGGAACCCUAAUGUUAUAAUUCCUUACAUAGAGUUCAAAAUCCCAAAAUUUCUUCCAUGAAUUGAUGUAAAAUUUCUUCCCCAAUUCAAAAAACUUAGAACCCUAAUUUUUUUGGUUAAAUUUGAAAUUCAUAAAUCAAGUGGUCUGCCUUGUAGAUUCGGUGUUUAGAAUUGAUGGGUGGUGCGCGAAUGGGUCCUUGAAUUAUAUUCAUAUCCAUCAUUUCGAUCCUCAAAUUAGUGAAAAUACCAUCAAAUUGGUCCUUGAAUUAUCAUAACAGAUAUCAAUGUGAUCCUUUGUGCAUACAUUUGCUGAACAAAGUAAAAUGUAAAAGACAAACACUUUGAUUAUAAAAAGACAAACAUUUGCAUUAUAUCAUAAGUCAAUAUUCGAUGUUAAUAAGUCAUUACAUAGCCAAAAAAACAACAGUACAUAGCCAAAAAAGCAUUAACUAAACUAGUCCAAAAACAUAAUUAAAACAUGCAUCACUGUUUUGGAAAUCUUGGAGUUGGGAUAAACUCCAUGUAUUGGGGUUGAGUAGAAGUGGAUGGCCCGUAAUUUGGAUUUGGAACUCUAACAACAUCCUCUUGUUGCACCUCAGUAGCAACAUUCUCAACAACAGUUUCCACACUUGCCACAUUACUUUGUACUUGUUCUUCAGACUCAGUGUCAAUCCAAUUCUUUGGUCUCCUAGCCACACCUUGCUUUGCACAACUUCUUGAUUAUAUGUCCCAUCCAAUUCUCAAUGUGGAAGAUGUGGAUUGACAUUCGCGCACCACCCAUCAAUUCUAAACACUGAUUCUACAAGGCAGACCACUUGAUUUAUGAAUUUCGAAUUUAAUCAAAAAAAAUUGGGUUUCUAAGUUUUUUGAAUUGGGGAAGAAAUUUUACAUCAAUUCAUGGAAGAAAUUUUGGGGAUUUUGAACUCUAUGUAAGGAAUUAUAACAUUAGGGUUCCAAAUUUAUAUAUUUGGGGAAGAAAUAGCCCUUAAUGAGGAAGUGGAGAAAGAGCCGUUACUCACAAAGAAGGGAAAGAGCCGUUGCCAAUUUUCUGAAAAUCCAUCAAUUUGGUCCUUGGAAAUUUUGUGUAAAUCCAUCAAUUUCGUCCUUCGAAAUUUUGUGUAAAUCAAUCAGUUUGGUCCCUGCUUGCGUGGCAUCUGACGUGGUAAGCUUUGUCAGAGGUUAACGUGACACGUCACCUCCGUUAACAGGCCAACUUAACGGAGGGACUGAGUUGAUUGACAUUUUGUAAUUUCAAGGACUAAUUUGAUAUUUCGCAAAAUUCAAGGAUGAAAUUGGCCGAUUUUUCAAAAUUCAAGGACGAAUUUGAGGUAUUAGUCACCAUUUUUCUAUCGUGAUAUUUUUGUGAGUGUCCUUCUUUCUUUCUUUUUCCCACAAUAUAAAUGUUUUUUUGGUUACGGCAUAAUAUAAACGUGAUAUGUCAAAUCUUUUUUAUCUUUUUAGAAAAUUGAUAUGACCAACUUAUAUGUUGACAGUGUGGUGAGGUCACCCGCAUGGUUGUGGUUCUGCCAAGUGCCAAUAAAUCAUAUCAUAUGAAACAGAAGCCGCAAUCAAGGGUUACAUGCCUCAUCAUUAUUUGCAUAGAUGGAAAGCAAAGCUAUUAUGAUUGGUACAGUGAUGGGGAUUUGAGUACUAAAUUUGAGGUUUUAGGUUCAAAUCUUAUUGUCUUCGGUGUAACAAAAAAAAUAAAAUUGUAUCAACAAUGAAUUGAUCCAAGUGGUUGAUAUAUAAACCGUUUAUGCAUGUAAUUAAAGAUUCGAUUUCUAUUACUUGCAUAUUCAUAAAAUUCAGUUGGAAGAACCCGUCUUUUAUGCCUUGUACAUGUUCUUCGACUGAACGAAGAUUAACCAUAUCGACAGUGGAAACUACAUAUCUAUAUAUAAUGAAAAUAGUAUAAAAAAAACAACAUUUGUAACAAAAAACCCAACCAUACCAACCAUCACUUAUCAAUUAGAUAAUAUUCCUCAAUUAAAAAUAGAUUUAAAUAUGUUUUUAGUCCUUACACUUUCAUCAGAUUUUGGCAUUGGUCCCUACACUUUUUUUUAUUUGGAGUUGGUCCCUGCACUUUGUAAAAAUAUUGGUAUUGGUCCCUCUAUUAACUUUCUAUUAAAAAAAACACAAAACUAUUGAUAUUGGUUCCUGCACUUUGUAAAAAUAUUGAUAUUGGUCCCUGCACUUUGUAAAAAUAUUGAUAUUGGUGCCACGUGGCGUGAAAUGAUUGGGCCACGUGGCACUCCGUUGGUUUUGUGUUUUUUUUUUAACAGAAAGUUAACAGAGGGACCAAUGCCAAUAUUUUUACAAAGUGCAGGGACCAAUGCGAAACAAAAAAAGUGCAGGGACCAAUGCCAAAAUCUGAUGAAAGUGCAGGGACCAAUGACACAUUUAAACCUUAAAAAUAUAAUUUUUUUUACAAUAGCUGUGUUUUGUCAAAAAGGAUCCUAUAAUAAGGGAUGAAAGCAGUAACAUUUAUAGUUAAGUCACUUAGAUAUAUGAUUAUUGAUUUUCAGUCUUUAAUCAUUAAUAUAUGAAAGGUUCAUUUCAGAUUUUUUUGUGCACGGCAAAUUGGUGUAAGGUUUGAAUUGCACUUCUAUUGUUUUGAUUCCUAAAGUGAUUAGCCCCCAAAAUUAUCCAUCUAUCGACCAAUAUAUCUUGUGGGAUGUAUGUAUGAGAUUUGACCUAAAGUCCUAGCGAACAUAUUGAAUUGGUCAUUGACAGUGUGAUCUCUGGAGCACAUAUGGCAUUUGUUAAGGUUGGGUUGAUCCUAGACAGCAUAACUAUUACAAAUGAGAUGGAGAGCAAUUAAUAAGAGAAUUCCCACUAACCAGUGGCAGUUUCACCGCCCGGCGAUCCCGGGCACGCGCCCGGGCUAUGACCCAAAUUUUUUGCAAUUUUUUAAUGUAAAUUCCUCUGAAGGAAUUUCUUAUAUAAACCCCUAUAAAUUGGACAAUUUCUUUAAAUUUUUUGAUUAUUUGCUUGCAAUUUCUUAUGUAAACACCUGUAAAUGUGUUGCAAUUUUUUUUUGCCCAGACUUUGUAAUAAUCCUGGCUCCGCCACUGCCACUAACGACGACUUAAUUCGAAGAGGAGUGAUUCCCUAUGAUUUGGUUUUGUACUCGAGCGGGUGCAGAAACAAUCAAUCUUCUAUUUUUGGAUUACGACUUCUUUGGUAGCAUUUGACAUCUCAUUCUCGCUGGUUGGGUAUAGCUAUCGUUGUUCCAUCAAAUAUUAGAUGUCACACUGAUAAGUGCUCAAAAUGAUCUAAUUCAUGUGUUAGUUUAGGCAUAUUUGAUGAGUUGUUUUACAAAUUAUUGAUGGAAAAGCUUCAAUUAUGUGCCUAAAUGUCAUUUAUGCUUUGCAUGCCUUACUUUACCCUUUUUGUGCAGGAAAAUACAAGCAAGGACCAAAAAUAUUAGUUUUGACCGAAGACAACACGCCAUAAGCGUGUUCCAAGCCAAAAGCCUAGAAGCCAGAAUUCAAGAAACUCGCCAUAAGCGAGUCUUUGGCCAUUGGCGAGUUUUCUCCAGAGGCUACACGCCAUAAGCGUGUUCAUGGCGAGUUCAAGAGAUCCAACAGGAUAAGGGGCACGUGGAGCAUAACCAUUGGAGCAGAAGCUGAUUUCGUGCAUCUCGCUUAUGGCGAGUUAUUUUGGCCAUAAGCGAGUUGUCCAAACACAACCCAUAUAAAUAGUUUUUCCUUCUCUCUUGCUAUUCAAUUACAUUUUUAUUCAUAUUUUUCUGGUUUUAGAGAGAGACUAGGGCUUUUCUAGAGAGAGAAACACAAAGCAAGAUAGUUAGGAGUAGAUUCAAGCCAAGAUUUGUUGAGACAUCAUGGAUCUUGUCAUGGAAUCUUCACCCUUUCUUCAUCCUUUGCAAAGCUAUCAUAAACAUAUGUAGCUACAUCUACUCUUGUAGUUUUGAUGUAUUCAAACAAGCUAUUAUGUAAUCUUUUGAUCUUUUAAUAUAUGGUUCUAGCUUAUUUAUUCAAUAUUGUUGUUAUUCUUGCUUUUAUUGUUUUAUUGAGAUUCAAAAUGAUACGGACACAUACUUUUGAAUCUAGAAAUAGAAUAACAAUCUAUCUUAAGUUAUCACGCUAGACAUGGAUGUUAAUAUUUGAUAAUCACUUUUAAUCUAUAACUUAAUGCUUUUGGGUAAUUUAAUCGGUUGGGAAAUCGUCGAUUAAACUACCCAAUCAACGUUGUGAUCGUUUAAAUGUUUGGGAAAUCAAUGUUUAAACGAUCCCUUAGAAAUAACGAUAUCAUUUGGACACGAAUGAUAUUGUCGAGUGAUUGUGAUAAUAUAGUUUAAAAAGCUAGAAUCCGUUAAUCGAUCGAGAGAUUGCAGCUGUUACGCUUGGUUGAUGUCUCUGACCGCAAGCGGAAUAGCCCUAUCUCUUCUCGUUUUACUUUUAUGUCGAUUAGGUAAAUAGUUUUACACAAACAAACAAUUUAUACCCAAACACUUAACGUGACAAAUAUUGUGAAAAUGCUUAUGAAAUACGCAACUCCCUGUGGACACGAUCCUAUAUAUACUCAUGUGUAAAUAGUUUUAUGAGAGGUAAAAAUCCUUCAUCACACACGCAACAACUUUUUGGCGCACAUGUUUUUAGGAAGGACAUUUGCUUUUGUUUUCAGGUAGUGUGGUUGGCCUAUCUUUGGGGUCAUAUGGAAGGAGCAUAACUCGGGAAUUUUCAAGAACAACGUGUCUUUAAAGAAUCAACUUCUUGAUGGCAUUAAGCUUCAUUCUUAGUGGCGGCUAAAGAUGCAUAAACCAAAUUUCUCUAUUGAUUUUUAUUAUUGGUUGUCUACGUUGUAUAAGUUAUACCAGUUUGUAAUCAUGGUUUCUGUCUUUGACGUAUCUAUUAUUUAAAGUUGUGUAUAAUUUCAUGUUAGACACAUCUUAUACUUGACUUGUUUAGUUUUUAAUAUAUCUUGCAUUUGACUUAUUAGAAAAAAUCAUUAAUCUAAGAAAGAGUAUUAGAAAAUUCAACCUUAGCUUGACUUAAUUGAAUUUUCUUACGUUGACUACUAGCUUCCAAAAAUGAUACCUUAGCUACUAUUUAAGAAUUUUGUUUGUUUAUAUAUUUUGGCAAAAGUUUUGUCUGUUUGUUUAUUGAAUAAAGUAUAUAGUAGUAUAAUAGAAGAAAAGGUGGUUGCAGAAGAAAAGCAGGAAGAGGAGGUGUGGCGGGAAGCAAAACAGAACACUCCUCUGUUUACGGCCAUCCGAUAAGUUCGGAAAGAAACUGAUAUUAUAUUAAUAAAAAAUAAAGCAAAAUCAAAUCUCAUAAAGUAACAAAAUAUAUAUACACAUAUUAGUUUUUCUUUCACGAGAAAUCUGCGGAACUCAUUGAAUUAAAAUUAUAUUACGUAUCUCUUCCGAUUCAUCUUUUUCUUUUCUUUCUCAUUCAUUCAUUCAUUGCUAUCGCUUUCUCUCUCUCUCUCUCUCUCUCUCUCUCUCUCUCUCUCUCUCUCUCCGUGUCGUUGUUGUUCAUCUUCAUCAUCGCAACACCACAACCGUAAUCAUAGCUUCCUUACGAUCGCUCAGCAGCAUGAAGGAUAAAGAUAGAGAUAAGGAAAAGGAAACAGAGAAGAAAAAGUAUCCUAUCGGAGCCGAACAUUAUCAACUUUACGAAGAGAUUGGUCAAGGCGUUAGUGCUUCCGUUCAUCGCGCUCUCUGUGUUUCUUUCAAUGAAAUCGUCGCCAUCAAAAUUCUCGACUUCGAACGCGACAACUGCGAUCUGGUACCUUAUUUUUUCAUUCAUAUUAAUAUUUUAAUUCUAAAUUGCUUUCGCCACGGUUUUAGUUACGCUGCAAACUUCUACAUUGCCUAUGCAUCGUGAUUUUAAAUUGCGAUUGCAGUCGAUGCUGUCUCAUGUGUUUGUGAAAAUCUCUAAAACCUUUAUUUUAUGGUCAUAAUUGCCGUUGCAGAACACAGUUUAGAAUAAUGAUUAAUAUCUUUGUACACAAGAGAUUAAUGAUGUUAUUUUUUCUUCUACAUAAUUUCUGAUGAUUAAUGGUUUAGUUAAUUAAUACCAAUCCUCAUCAAUCUUUCAUAAUUUAUUCAUAGUUUUGGCUCCUAUGCAUUACAAUUAGGCUAUUUUGACCCAUAACAAAAUAAAUUACAACUCAACCCCUAAAGUAUUGUCCUUUUGCAUUUUUGACUUUCCAACAUAUAAGUGGCACCUCAAUUAAGUAAACAUAUUUAAAUUUUUAAUUAAAAAUAAAUAAAAAGCUAAACCAGCAACAAAUAAAUGAAAGGAAUAUGGAAGAAACAUCCAAAAAUUAAAGCAUUUGAUUUUGAUGAAUCUGUUUUUCUUUUCUGGCUUUCUUUUGAAAAGCUAAACCAGCAACAACAAAACAACAUGAGAAAUUGUGUUUGUUUUCUCAGCACCAUCACCACCAAGAUUCUUCUUCUUGUUGUCUACUACUACUACUUGGACGGAGCCUUUGUUGUUCUUCUUAUAUGUUACUCUUUCGAACAACAACAAUGAAAGAAGAAGCAGCUCCUUCCAUUUUUCGACUGCGUUUAGCGGUGGUUUGUUGCUUUUCCUUCUUCGCUAACUCCUCCGCUCCCUCCGUUGCGUUUGUUCUCUGUUUCUUUCUAGAAUAAUAAUAAAGGAUAAGAGGUUUGUUAAUCGUCGUCACUGUGUUUUGUCUUCUUGUCCUCACAAAAAUGAAGAAGAUGCUUCUUGCUCUGAAGACAACAACACAAUGACGACGAUUAACAAACCUCAUACCCUUUAUUACUAUUCUAGAAAGAGACCGAGAACAAAUGCAGCGGCGUGAGCGGAGGAGUUAGUGAAAAAGGAAGAACAACAAACCACCGCUAAACGCAACGAAGGAGCUUCUUCUUAUAAGAAGAAGAACAACAAAGGCUCCUGUCCUAGUAGAGUAGUAGACAAGAAGAAGAAAUGUUAGUGGUGAUGGUGCUGAGAAAAUAGACACAAUUUCUCAUGUUGGUAAUGGUUUAGCGAUUUAAAAAAUUCCUCAAAAUCAGAAAAGAAAACAGAUUCCUCAAAAUCAAAUGCCUUUAAUUUCUGAUUGUUUCUUCCAUUUUCCUUUUUUAUUUAUUUGUUUAAUUCAGUAAAUAUACAUUUGGCUUUUUUAUUUAUUUUUAAUUAAAAAAUUACACACGUUGCAUUCUACUCACUUAACUGAGGUGCCACAUGUGCGUUGACUCGGUCAAAAUUGGCGUAGAGGGCCAAAGCUACAAAAGUGGCGGUACUUAAGGGGCUGAGUUGUAAUUUAUUUUGUUAGGGAGCCAAAAUCGCCAAAUUGUGAUACUUAGGUGGCCAAAACUGCUAUGAAGCCUAAUUAAUACCAUAAUUUAAAUUAUUUUGUGGUAGUGAUUAGGGGUGGGCAUGGUUGAGUUCGGGAUGAAAAAUGAACCGAACUAAACUGAAUUGUUUGCUAAAUUUAAAAUAACUGAACUGAACUGUUUGCAUUUUAAAUUGAACUGUUUCAAACCGAACUGAAAAAAAUAUGAAAAAAACAAAUGAAAUUGAAUUUUAGUUACAAAACUGAACUAAACUGUCUGAACUGUUUUGAACUGAACUGUUUCAGUUAAGUUUCAGAUGGUCAGUUUUUUUGUUGGUUUAGUUCAGUUUUUGGUUUUUUUGCCCACCCCUAGUGAUUACUCUGCGAACCUUUGUAUCUUAACAAAAAAAAUGUCUAUGUAAACAUCACUCAAUUGAUAGGAUAUUACAUGUAAUAUAAAAGGGUCAGAGGUUUGGAUUUCUUUCUUAUUCACCUUAUUAGUGAAUUUCCUGACAUUAGACUAUUUGAUAUAAAUAAAAAAUGCACGAGACACAUCCAUAGUUUUAAAUUGGGAUGUUGAUGUGGUCGUGGCUAUGGUUGCAGUGCAACAUAGUGUUGUUGUAGACAUUACUACCACAAUUUAAAACCAUGGAACCAGCUCCAAUGAAAUGCGGUUCACAAUUUAGAAUAAUGAUUAUUUUUUUAACAAGAAAUUAAUGAUAUUAUGUUAUUGUCAUAAUUUUAAAUCGUGUUGUUCUAGUUACGCUGCAAGGUUUUAUAUUAUAGAAGCACGAUGGUUUUAAACUGCGGUUGCAGUUUGAUGCAAAUGGUUGUAGUGCAGCUUUAUGUAACUGCAUACAUUACUGCAACAACAAUAUUUUGGCUGCAUCUUGUGGUCCACAAUUUAAAACCCUAGAUGAAGUUGUACGAAUCUCUAAAACUUUUAUAUUGCUGUCACAAUUGCGGUUAGAAUACCACAAUUUAGAAUUUUUUUUUAAAGAAAUUAUUGUUAGUAUUUUUUUUUCUUUCAUCAAUGUCUGAUGAUUAAUUGUGUAAUUAACUAUUAAUGGAAUGAUUAAUGGAUGAAUGAAUGCAGAAUAAUAUAUCUCGUGAAGCACAAACAAUGGUACUAGUGGACCACCCUAACGUGCUAAAAUCACACUGCUCAUUCGUGAGUGAUCACAAUCUAUGGGUUGUGAUGCCAUUCAUGUCGGGUGGUUCAUGUCUUCACAUAUUGAAAGCUGCACAUCCUGAUGGAUUUGAAGAGGUUGUUAUUGCAACUGUGCUCAGGGAGGUAUUGAAGGGUUUAGAGUAUCUUCAUCAUCAUGGUCACAUUCACCGUGACGUUAAGGCGGGUAAUGUUCUCAUUGAUUCUCGCGGUGCGGUUAAGCUCGGUGAUUUCGGUGUAUCUGCUUGUUUGUUUGAUUCCGGUGAUCGGCAAAGGUCGAGAAAUACUUUUGUUGGCACACCUUGUUGGAUGGCCCCUGAAGUCAUGGAGCAAUUGCAUGGUUAUAACUUCAAGUAUUGUGUUCUUUCUAUUCUUUUAAUUUCUUUUAUCAUAUAAUAAAAUACUUAAUAUAUACACUAUUUAAAAUGGUUUGCCACCCCAAAUUGUAACGGUGGUUUCUAUUGUUUUUUUAAUAUCUUCCAACUGCAAUUAAUUGAUGCUGCACAACCGAGUAAUAUUUGAUGACAUUUCUAUACCAUAUUUAGGAUUUUCAUGCUGCUACAAUCAAAUAAUUUCAUUAGUAUUUGAGAAAAAAUUUCUACAAUAUCUCAUUGAUGGUAACUACACCAAGGGUUUCAAGUUGUGGACCACAUCAUGUGUCGCGACUACAGCAUUACCGUUUUGGUAGCACCAGCUCGCAAUUGAUCCCCCUCCAAAUGAGUUUUUGCAUUUUGAAUGAUCGUGAGUGCAUCAUUAUAACUUUUGAUUAAAAUUUUCAUUAUAUGGCCGUGGCUUCAAUAUUGUGGUUGUGGGCCGCAAUCGCAUCAGCUCACAAUUGCCCCUCCAAGAGUUUUUGCAAUGUGAAUGAUUGGGAGUGUGUCAUUAUUAUUUGAAAUGAGAUGCUAUUCAUUACGAAUGCCCGUAACACGAAACGCCAGAACCAUUUAUUUUAAAAUAAGUCAACAAUAUUUUAAGUUGUCUUUGAUGGAAUACAUGAGGUAUCGGAAGUGGAACCACUAAAUAGAAGCACUUUCACUAAACGGAGGUCCCAUAAUAUCAAUGAUUUUGUCGUAACACAUUCCAAAACCUUGUUUAAUUACCCUGGCUUAUUGACAUGCUGGCAAUAAUGACAUUCAAAAUUAAUCUUGCAGAGCUGACAUUUGGUCAUUUGGCAUAACUGCAUUGGAGCUUGCCCAUGGCCAUGCUCCUUUCUCAAAAUAUCCACCAUUGAAGGUGUGUGUGCACAUACUAUCAUAGUAUUUGCUAUAAGCACUCAAAAUUUUAUCCCAUUUUUCUGUUUAAUUUCAUAAUAAUUAAACUUUCCAGGUACUGCUUAUGACUUUGCAAAAUGCACCUCCAGGCCUUGACUACGAAAGGGACAAGAAGUUCUCUAAGGUCAGCCCAGUUCAGUUUGAUUCCAUCAUUUGCUGAUUGCUCCUGUAAGCAAACUAAACCCUUCUAUGAUUUUUACUAGCUAAUAUCUUUAUUCCUUUUUUCUUUUCAGUCUUUUAAGCAGAUGAUUGCUUGUUGUUUGGUAAAAGAUCCUUCAAAACGACCCUCUGCUAGCAAGUUGUUAAAGCAUUCCUUCUUUAAGCAAGCUCGCUCCAGUGAUUAUAUUACGCGAACUCUUUUGGAGGGCCUGCCUGCUUUGGGUGAUCGCAUGGAGAUUCUAAAGGUUGCUUUGCUUCCACUUUAAGUUAAUAGCACAUAUCUUAUAUAUUUAUAUUUGCACCCUCCCAGUUCCACCCUUGUUAUGAUAUAUAAUAUAAUAUUUAUUUAUGAGGUAACUUGUAUGUCACAGAGAAAAGAAGAUAUGCUUGCACAAAAGAAAAUGCCUGAUGGGCAGAUGGAGGAAUUAUCACAGGUGCGAAAUUACAAUGUCUAUAUCUAACUUACUGCUAUCUGAUGCAAAAAAUAAAAUAGUACUCUAUUUGCUUCCCCCAUGUACUUGUACUCAACAUUUCCCACAAUAAGACACCUUUAAAAAUUCUAGUUAUAGUUAUUAUUGUGUUAUACCUAUUUGUUGCCCAAUCCAGGCUGCAAGCAGACUUGAUCAGAGUCAGAUAGUAUGUCUGUUUUUGUCUGUUUGUGUGUGUGUGUGUGUGUAUGCUCUACACUAUAAAGUACAUCAAAUGGAUUUAAUUAGUUAGCUUAGUUUUUCUUUUUUGAUGAUGCUUUUUAUGGUUAUUUUUCUCAUUGCUACCGGUUACUGAAUUCAUGGCAAGCUUAUAACACCAUUGUGCUGUGUUCAAUCCCUGUACUGCAGAAUGAAUACAAACGAGGUAUUAGUGGCUGGAACUUCAAUCUUGAAGAUAUGAAGGCUCAGGCUUCCUUGGUACAUGUCAUGUCUAAUAUUACACUUUCAUACACUCAUCAAGUUAAACAAAAUCUUACUAUGGUUUUUAUUUAUUCUAGAUCAACGAUUUUGACGAUGCUAUGUCAGAUAUCAGUCAUGUGAGUAGUGCAUGUUCCUUAACUAAUCUUGAUGCUCAAGAUAAGCAACUGCCAAGUUCAAGUCAUAGUCGUAGCCAAACUGCUGACAUGGUAUUGUUUUUACAAAUUCAUUUUUUAUUUAGUAGGAUUAGGAUUAUAUUUGAAAUGUAAAUUUAUAAAUAUAGCUGAAACUUUCCUUUCUCUUAUUUUUCAUUGUUAACAAGAAAAUUUUGUUAUUGAGGUAGUUCUAAUGGCUAACUCUUUUUUUGGUACAAGUUCUAAUGGCUUCUUCUUUACAGGAGGAAAGUGAUGAAAUGCAUAAUCAACUAGCUUCUGUUCCGGAAGUUGAUUCCACAAUAAACGAUGUCAAGUAUGUCUCUAACACAUGUGUGAUGUCACAUUAUUAAUUGCAUUAUACUUUUGAAAUAAUCAAACUCCGACAACUUUUACAUCAUGUGCUAAUGCUUGUAGUGGUUUGGGAUCUUUUAUUUUAAAGUAAACAAAUGUUACAUGUCUUUACAGCUAGAACUAGCACUUUUGUUAAAACAUUGUGGGUCAAUGCUUUUCUAUCUUGCCAUUUCCAGGACAAGAAUUGAAAAAUCUGAUGAUGACUCCAGCAUCACAAGCUCAAGCCACGAACCACAAACUUCUUCCUGUCUUGAUGAUCAUGUGGACCAUAGUUUAGGUGAUAUGGAAAAUGUUGGAAGAGCUGCUGAGGUUGUUGUGGCUACUCAUCCUCCUCUUCAUAGGAGAGGAUGUUCAUCAAGCAUAUUACCGGAAGUUACUCUUCCACCUAUUCGAGCAGAAAGGUAAAUACUCAAAUUAUGCAUUAAGUAUAUUUAAUUUUAUUUUGAAUUAAUUUAAAUAAUCUUCCAAUUGAAUUAUUUAUUUCAGAAAACUGCAUUAGUUGUAUAAUUAUUGACAUUGGGCCAGUCUCGGCAUUUGGCUGAUGUGGAUUUGUUUCUUAGACGGUUGCUCUAUGUGCCUCUUGGAUUACUCAACCCCUAAAUAAGUCGAUCCGGAGAUAGCUUCAGACGAAAAAAAGCUGAUCGGAUUGUAUCUUCCAAUAUGUUUUGUGAGAUUAGGAGAUACGAUCCGAUAAAUCAAAGAGUUUUGAGCGAAACUGAGAGACUCAUAGAGCAAUUUCCUGUUUUUUAACCCCUUUGACGGGCCUGUUGAUUUUCUCACCCAAUAAAAAUUUAGGCCCAACCAAAAGGAAUUAAGCAACUCCAAUUUGGUUGUCCUCUUAGAAAUGAUAGAGAAUAUUUCAAACACUGAUGUCUUUCAAAUUUCCAUCAUUCACACUCCAUUUGUUCAGAUUGGUUCUUCUUCAAUGACAAAUAUUCAAAUUUCAAUCGUAUACUUCAUCUUUCAUUUUAUUCUAUUUCACUAUCAUGUUUAAACAUAAACCAUUAGUUUUAUAAUUUUCAAUCUUUUUGUUAAGCAAAUCAAACACUUUUUCUAAUCUAUCAUCAGCUUUAAUAUUUAGCAAUAUCAAUGACAGUGAGAAGCUACAAAAUCUGUCUACAAACGUCUCAAGUGCCAAUGCAAUUUUAGUAACACACACAGGAGAUGAUGUGCUUACUGAGCUUCCUUCUAGAGCCUCCAAAACAUCAGGUAGCUCUGCUCACAUUACUUUGUCUAAUUGCAUGCAUGCCUUGUUUUCAAUUUCAAGGGAGCAACACAUAUUUUGUGCCCUUGAAGUCCUCAAGGAUCACUAUUUAACUCCUGCAUUUCCUUCUAACUAAUCAUUUCUAUAACAGCUAAUUCUGAUGACACUGAUGAUAAAGCAAAGGUACCAGUUGUUCAACAGAGAGGACGUUUUAAAGUUACAUCUGAGAACGUUGACCCGGAGAAGGUAAGAAAUAACUUUCACCGAUCAUUCUACUUUCUUGAAAACUGAAUACUAAGAUUUCUUUCAGGCGACCCCUUCUCCUGUACUGCAAAAGAGUCACAGCAUGCAGGUUGGUUGUUUAGAGGUUUGCACACCUGUCACCUAUUCUUCUUUAGUUGAUGAAAACCCCAAAAAUAUAUGUUCUGCUAUGCUCGAGUUAUAUCUUCUUCUUUACUGUAUCUUAAUGAUAGUGAUAGUGACAAUGAUAGUGAUUGUGAUAAGGUCCAAAAGGAUAGAUCAAUGUUUUUCAGCUUUGACUGUUAGAGGUAUAAAUCGGUUGAGUGUAUGUCUGGUUUGACAGCUAGUUUGAGGAAAUCAUUGUGUGCCACCAUGAUUUUGGCAACAUCCACACUUAAGAAAUUACAAGAUAUGAUUUCGUCAAACUCGGUGUGAUUCCAAACAUACACGAAAUCAAGUCAACCAUUUGAAUUUAAAGUAUAGGAUUGCUAGUGAAAAACAAAGAGUGCCAAACCUUAACUCACUUAUGUACACUAGACAGAUUUUAAGAUUGAGCCUAAGUUGCUUACGAAAAUGAAGUUUGAAGUCGACUCAUUUAUCAUUUAUGUUUUGACUAUUUGUUUUCUUUAUCAAAAUUCUCACCCAAUAAUUUUCUUAAUUGAUUAAUUUAGUAUGUCAAGCGUCAGAAUUUAAGCUACACUCAGAAAAUUGAGCUUGUUCGUUUAGUUAAAUAAAUGAAUUUGAUCAAACAUUUGAUGACUCACACUCAUAAUACAUGAAUAGCUUAAUCCAUCUUCGUCUUAUUCACUUAUUACAUUACGAUUAAUGAGUGCUAAUGAUGUGAAAGAGGGAAGAAAUAAAAAAAAAAAUGAUUGAAAAGUUGAACAUUUGAUACAUUGGUAACUUAAAAAGCUGCAUUUUUCAAUGAACAUUUUUGAAUUUUGGUUCUUCAACCAGUGCUUGCAUGGUACUUGCUCGAUUAUUGUUUUUGUUGUACUUGGGCAUUAAUGGUGUUUAGUUUGUAAGCAGAAAGUCUUGCUACCAUCUUUUUCAGAAAAAAAUGGAAGUGUUGUUUUAGGUUUAGUAUUAUGUUUUAUUAGGUUAUAUUAAUUAUAUAAUCCUUGUUAUGAAGCAUGAUUCUUUUACAAACUAAUAUGAAGGUAGAUAAAAUUUCUAUACCCAUAUUAGGAAGGUAUAACUCCUAAUUUACUGUAACAUUUUACGCAUUGUAGGUUAUGAGCCAGCAUAAUGCAACUCCUCUACACUCACCUUUACCAUUAUUAUCACCAAUAUCUGAUGCCACGCCAUCAAAUAUUUCUUGCUGUUCUCUGUUCCCUGUGUUGCAUUCUGUGCUGCAGACAAAUAUUCUUCAGAGGGUAUGUUAAGUCUUAUAUGGUUCUAUUCUUUCUCCUUCAGCUAAUGUCCAAGAUUAACCUUCUUUUGUUCAUGACAUUUUAACAGGAAACCAUUCUAACUUUAAUGAAGCAAAUUACUGUGGGUGAAUCUGCUGGUGUGACCUCUAUCUAUUGAUAUUAUUUUUUAUCUUUUUCAUUAAUUUCUGUUAUAUUCAUAAUUUCUUUGUCAAAUUUCUCUUAUAUUCAUAAUUUCUUUGUCAACCGUGCAGCUGAUAACACAAAUGCCCCUGCACAGAUAGCAGCAAUGGAGAAAUCCUUGGUAUGUAUUUAAAGGGCUUGAUUUUUAUCAGUUAGACUCAUUUUCAUUUAUUUGCGAAUGACCUAUGUCUCUCUGGGAAUCAUAUGUACUAUUGGUUGAAGUGUCAAAAUGUUGGAUAAUACAAAAUGCUACUUGAGUUUGUAGGUUUUAAAAUUUAUAAUUUAUAUGAUUAUAUGAUGUAUUUCUCACAAUUGAAUUCUCAAGGUUAGCUUAGUUACAAUUGCAGCUAUCAAUUUAUAAAGUGAUUAGGGUGUAAUUUGUCUAGACUAGAGAGCAAACUGGAAAAUAUUUGAGUCAAAACCUAGGGUACAUAAUUCACUGCGAUUUUUGGUGUGCUGGAGGUAAAUUGGAUUUAAGAUGAAUGGAAGACAGGCCCUGAUCGCUAGUACCGUACAAAUUAGUGAUAAGAACUUGGGUUUUAUAGGAUGCUAAGUCCAUAUUAGUAUGAAAUUUUCGGUGUAGUUAAAUGGUGUGGUUCUUUUUCUUUGACAGCUAACUUUUAAGUGAGGUUUCCCAAGUGUUUGGUGCUUAUCAAUUAGCAAGGAAAUAAGUUGAAUUUGUAAAAUCCAAAUGCAACAAGUUUACUUGCUGUAUUACCUAUAAGUAGACAUUUUUCUUUCUCUCGUUUGUAUUAAGAUCGUUUUAUUUGAAUGCCAUUAUAUCUGCUUUUCCCGGUAUUAAUUUAAAAGAAAUAUCGGCUAUACAUUACUGCAGCUUGAAUCAGCUCACGAGAGGGAAAAGGAGUUGCUUCAUGAGAUAACUGAUUUGCAAUGGAGGUAUUGUAUUAUAAAAGUUAGUUGGAUUAUAUGCUAAAAUAUAGGUGGUUUUACUCAUUAACCUUGCUUUGUAUCAUCUAUAGGCUCAUAUGCACCCAGGAAGAGCUUCAAAAAUUGAAAACAGAUAAUGCUCAGGUAUUAUCAAACGCUUUGGCUAGUAAUAACAUAUUCUUGUGAAUAAUGAUGGACUUCACACUCUUAACUUGUUCUGACCUCUAAAAUCAUAGGUGUGAUUGGAUUGUCAGAAGUGAUUCUGUUGUUUAAGUGGAUGCUUGGAUUUUCCUUAAAUCUAAGUUCUUCGUGGGCACUUAAUAAGUUUGAGGUGUUAGGAGAAAGCAGAAUUGUGACCGGUAGAACAACCAUUUACUAGAAAUUGAGUACUUUGUUACUUUUAGGUUCUUUUUAGGUGAUAAGAAAUUUAUCAUGGUUGCUUGUUUUUUUGGCAGCCUAUUAGCUCCUUGUUAGUGCAGAUUUGUUGUUCAUAAUUAUUUUUGUAAAUGAUUUUAGCAUUAUUUCCUGCUUGUAAAUUAUAGUGCACGUCAUGAAACUUUCUGAACCUACAAAUUUUUAAUUUUUUUUUGGAUAAUGAACCUACAAUUUCUUCUUUAGUAUUCAUUCAAUGCUACUAGAUGCUAUAUUCUUGUAUGGAUAAAAUGCUAUUAGAAUGUAAUGCUUUAUUUUUUAAAAGAACAAUUUCAUAAUUGUGUUUCUUUAUUGAGCGAAAUGUCAUAUUUGCUAUUUCAUGGAGUGAAACUUGAAGUGGAUAAUAAUUUUUUUAAUCAUGUUUUCAAUUUGAGUAGCUUUAGGAUGGACCACAAUUAAACGUGACCAUGAUAAAUCGUCCACUAUUCACCAUUGGUGAUUGUUCUGUGUCUCGUGGACUUCUCAAUUUUUGAAAUAAAUCGAUCGAGAGAUAUCUUCCAAUACAAAAAAAAAAAAAUGCUGAUCUGAUUGUAUCUUUCAAUAAAUUUUGUGCGAUCGAAAAUUACGAUUCAUUAAAUUGUUGAACUUUUAAGAAAAACCGAAGGAUUCAUCAAGCAAUUAGGUUCACCAUUUGAUCAAGUAAGACCACUUAUAUUUUAUUAUGGCAUAGCAAUUACUUCUUAUGGAUGCAUACCUCGAGCCUACUUUGAUAUGGAUUCAUAAGUCGAUAUAGAAAAUCAAAUAUACCAAGAAAGAUAUAAAUUAAUGGAUCCCACGUGAAUAGAGACGAAUCAAGGAAAAUCAAAGAUAGAUUGCCAAUAUUCCUUCAAAGCUGAAGUUGAAGACAUAACUGAUAUACCAGACAUAGCUGAAGAUAGAUUGUUAAUCGUUUGAAAUUCUUUUUACCAGACAUAACUGAUACUUCUGAAAGUGUUUUUGUACCUCUUAGAUUAAUUACUGAUAACGUGUUGUCAGAUUUUGAUGUUUUCAUUUCAUGAGAAAUAAAACUUCUGGGAAAAAAGGUUUUAUGGGCUUGAAAUUGGACACGUCUAAAAUCUAUGACAAAAUUGAAUGACCAUUUCUUAAAACAGUUUCAGCAACAAUGGACCUCUUUGAUUCUGAAUUGUGGCUCGAUUGUCUCUUUUAUUAAGGGUCGAGGCGCUGACCUAAUUAGAUCUCAAUUUCUUAUUUUUUUUCUUCUAAAAUUAGAUGAAAGAUGAUAAUUUUCUAUCAAACAAAUUCAUUAAACUAUUUAUCUGCCCACAUAUCAUGCAUGUGAAUAAAAUAUUUUUCCAUUUGUUAUAUCAGCGAAAGUAGAUUAUUGUGCCAAUAACAUCUCCAAAAAAGAGUAAAAAGAAACAUAAUGCAUACCAUUAUAUUAGUGGAUGUUAGAUGAAUGAUGAAAAACUGGUGGAAGAUUUUCCCAUUUUCAAAAUGAUAUCGGUUAGAGUUGUGUUAUUUGAACAACUUUUUUUAUGACAACUUUUGAUACAACCAUUAAUUUGCAAAGAAAAAGUGGUAUUGGCACAAAAAUCAAAGCAAUAGAGAGAGAAAGCAAAAAUACAAUGUGAAUAUGAGAGAGAAAGUUGUCACAAAAAUUGUCAAAAAUAAUUGUACAAAUAUCAUUUCUACUCAUGUAUAUAAUUAUCUAUAAAUAAUUUAGUGGAAAUGAAUUGAAUAAUAUAUUGGGAUAAAACUUGUGUGACAUAACAUUUUGGUGCAUUAACCAACCACAAUCUUACAAUUGCCUUUCUUCUCUCUCUCUUUUACAAUUUUUUUUUUGUUUUUUUGUACACUUUUGACAUUGUGGUUGGUCAAUGUCACAAUGUUACCAAAUACUAUGUCACCCAAUAUAUUGAUGGGCGGGAACUUCUACGGUUUAUGAGGUGUACCGGUACUCUUGCUCCAUAAAAUUGUAAAUUAACAACCAUUUUAUAAAAUAAAAAGCUAUUUGUCAAUAUUUAUAUUUUAGAAACAUCAUUUUAGAAGAAAAAAAACAUCAUUUCAUUGUUUAUAAGAAUCAUAUUAAAUUUUUAACAUUUUCUCAUAAAAAAUAAUCAAUAUUCUUUAUUAUGAGUAAUAAAAAUACAAAAAAAGUAAAUUUUAUUUCGUCGAAGGUUUUUUUUUUUUGAGGGAAUUUCGUCGAAGCUUUUGGUAAAUAAGAUUUGAUUAUUAUAAUUGUGAAUGAUAGAAAAUAAUUCUUUUUCUUCAAAAAAAAAAACUCAUUUAAUGGUCAAUUUAACGAUUUGGUGUACCGGCACACUCAAAAUUUUGGAUGUACCAUAGAAUUUGCCUUGAUGGGCAAGUAUGACUCUACCACCGUAGUCAAUACUUAUUAAGGUGGUUAGCUUGAAACUUUAGAGUGUCUUUCUCUUUAGGUUUCAGUUUUGAUUACAUCUGAUGUUAACUUUGGUGGGCUAAAUCCAUACAGAGCUACACUCUGGUUUUGAAUACGGCAUCCGUAAGUGGACCGUGAUUGAACCCCUCAUAUUGUUCGGUUUUUAGGCCAAAUACCGUGUUUUUUUAAAAUAAAAUUCUUGAUCAAGGUUUUUGUUUACAUGAAUGUCUUGGUUCUAUUCAAUUUUCACCAACUUUAACAUCUUCUUCGUGAACAAACACUGGAUGUUCAAAACACAAGUAUGUGUCACAUUUAUUUGAGAAACAUGCACUCAAAGCUGCUUCAGACAUAAAGUUGACGUAUUUGUCCCCCUUAAAUAUUCUUAAAUCAAUGCAGAUAUUAUUUAGACCUGAACGCAUCCUUCAAGCCGUGAUUACCAAAAUACUUCAUUGUACAAGAAAGUCAAAAUAAUCAUCUUUUUUUUUUGAAAGACAAAAUAAUUAUCUAACUUUAUGUGUAUCAGAAUCGUAUUCUAUGUCCAUGUAUUUCAACAUUUUAUCUUAAUCUCUUAAAAUAUUACUACGAUUGUGGUAGAUGAAGAUAAUAUAAUUGGCCAACUGUAAAAAUGUUAUUAUCUUUUUGUUGUGUAAAAUCAUGUGUAGCAUACACAAUCCCAUGAUGAUUGAUCAUGCUUAAUUUAAAAAAAAAUAAAAAUCAAUGUGGAUAGUCUAUUUAUAGUGAGACAACAAAGUAACAGGUUCCUUUCAAAAACAAAGUAACAGGUAACACAUGAAAACGAGACUAUGUAAACAACCAAUUAAAAUUCAAAUGAAAGUAAAAAUAGCUUAAAAAACAUGAUAAAAAUGGACGGAUAAAAACAUAUGAGGAUGCUACAAAAUGUUGCUACACUUAGGCAUAUAUAUAAUAAAAUGUUUCUGCUAUUCGGUACCUCCUUCAGAGAUUCAUCAAGAUUCCCUUAUGUAUAAAAGCCACUAAUAAGGUGAAAUGAAGUUGAACAAAGAAUAAACAAUGAGUUAACAACUCCUCUUGUACAUUUUUGCAAUACCAUAUACAACUUGUUAAAUGACCCAAAUAUGGUGAAGAAAAUUGGUUGAAAUGAGAAAGAAUGUGAACAAGAUGGAGAUCAAGGUUGUGUAGAUGCGAAGAGAAAGUGAAUAUUCUUGAGGAAUGUUUGAUUGGUCUUACAAAACUGGGAUGGAAUCAAAGAUAUACACAACUUAAUUAGACUUUCAAUAUUUUCCUUUUCAACCUACACACUAACUAAACCACAUCAUUACAAAAAAUUUGAACAAUGUAUUGACCACCAUCGUAGAGAGAUAUCAAAGUAAAACACAAUAACCACAAAUCAAAACAUAAUAUCAAGACAAAAAUGUGCUUACUUUUACCGGACUUAUUGCUAUUAGAGUUAAAUAAAUUUUUAGUUCCAAUAAAUAUAUCAUAUUUAGUUUUUAAUCCCUCUAAUUUUUCUUUCAAAAGAAUGGUCCUUCAAAUAUUUUCUAUAAGCAUUUUUUGUCCCUGAUUUUAAGUCAACUUAUAUGUAUCCUUCAAUUUUUCUAGAGUUUUUGCAUGCGUAUUUAGAAUUUAUAAGAAACUUUCCAAUAAAAAUAUUUUAUUGUCACAAAUUUAUAAAUUUUCAAUUGUCACAAACUUAAAAAUUCAUAUUUUAUUCAUCCGUCAUUUAAAAAUUUAAACUUUUUCAUGAGACAUUUCUAUAAUGUAUUAAACAUUACUUCAAAAAACAAUUCAAUAUUACAAAGGAUACACAUGAGUUGACCUAAAAACAUGGACCAAAACUAUUAACUUUUAAAGGACGACAAUUUGAAUUAAUUUUUUAGAAGGAUUAAAAACAAAAUAUGAUGUAUUUAUUGAGACCAAAAACUUAUUUCACUUUUAUAUAUAUAUAUAUAUAUAUAUAUAUAUAUAUAUGUAUAUGAAGAGAAAUCACUAUUCACAUUGCGAUCAAAACUUUAUAAACAUAUAAACAGAUGCUUCAUUUACUUUCUAACGAUAUUGUCAUAUGUUAUUUUCAAUUUUUAUGUGUAAAGAUAUUUGGUUAGGAAUUUUAUAAGUUUGAUAAGGAAAGAUGAAAGUUAACAAGAAAAAAAUUCACUUCCGAAAAAACUAAAUACAAUACUUGACAUGUUUUAGAAUUUGUGGAAAUAUUCAAAUUUUUUAAAAUAAAUCUUAAAACACUUCGAUAAAGUGUCUUAUAUAAUAUAAAUAUUUUAUGAGUGGAUAAUAGAUCUUAAAUUAUGAAGAAAUUAAAUUAAACAAAAAAUAUUUAUAAGCUUGAAUUAGCAUUUAAUUUUGAUACAUAGUAUAUUGUAUAUUUGAAGGUCUGCAUGCCCCAACAAAUUUAAAAGAAUAAAGAAAUAUACUCUCUCUCUCUUAACAAGUUAUAGCCUUUGUAUAUAUAGUUUAUAAUUGUUCAUUGAUGGAAGAAAGAGCAUUCCAUUCUCAUUGUUUGAGAGAAGGAGAGAAAAGAGAGAUGUCACGAGAAACGAUGUACGUGAAACACUGUAUGGGCGUUAAUGGGUUAGAGAAGAUCAUUCUUAGAGAAAAUCGUGGCUUCUCUGCUGAGGUAUUAUUUUCAUUUUCCGAUUCAAAAUUAAUAUUCAAAAUUAUCUUUUUUCAAUUAUUCUUUAAUCAUCUCAUUUUCUAUUUCGAUGUAUUUUCACAAUUCAUGCAUGAAUUGAUUACAUCUCUAUCUAAUUUUCUAUUUAAGAUCCACAAAUACAUCAUAUCAUUUUUUCUCGUCGAAAUUUGGAAAGACGUAGUUGUUAUCAUCAUUAUAAAAAAAAAAAAAAAAAAAACUUAAUUGUAUAUAAGAAUGGUUUCAUUUUCAGGUGUAUCUAUACGGGGGACAAGUUACAUCUUGGAAGAACGAACGUGGAGAAGAAUUGUUAUUUGUUAGUAGUAAGGUAACCAGCUACAUUAUCCUACUCAUGCCUGAAAAGGAAGUUAAAAAAACAAAUCAAUAUAAUUGUUUUGACAUGAAUAAUAAUAAAUGCAGGCUAAUUUUACUCCUCCAAGAUCUUUACGCGGAGGCAUUCCAAUAUGUUUUCCUCAAGUACGUGUAUCAUCUUAUAGAGCUUGUAUGUUUUUGUUUAUUGUUUUUUCUUUAAGUACUUUAUAUCCAUCCAUAUGCAGUUCUCAAAUUUUGGUACUCUUGAACAUCAUGGAUUUGCAAGGAACAAGUUGUGGAUCUUAGAUCCUAAUCCUCCUCCCUUUCCAACAAAUAGCAACAGUAGAGCUUUCGUUGAUUUGGUUCUCAAAAACUCUGAAGAUGAUACAAAGAAUUGGCCUCACAGGUAUUUUAUUUAUAUAUAUAUAUAUAUAUAACUUAACACUCUUUUUUAAGAACCAACAUCAAAAUGAUUGGUAGACAUCUUGAAAGUCAAUUUCAAUCCAAAUUUUCAACCUAGAAAGAAGCUCAGUGAUCUCUGAAAAUUCCCCCACACAAAGCAUGCCGAGGUUCACCUUCUAUCGAGCCAUUGAUGUUCACAUUCACCCAACAACUACUGAUCACUGGGGAUUUCGAGAAAACUGUCUUGAUCUCAUUAAAAUUUUGUCGCUUCGGCAAGAUUAAGAAGAAUUCAAGAUAAACAUAUCCUUAAAAAACAUCAUACAUAACCUUCAUCUUGGUGGAAUGUAAAGUUGGCCUAGCAUGCAUUACUAAAACAAAGACCGUUACGAGCCAGCUAAAUAACAUGAAAAAUGUGAACCAUUCUAACAAGUAAUAAUUUUCGAGUCUUAGGAGUAGUACAACAAUUAAGCAUCACAUAAAUAAACAAUCUUAAGCGAGAGAAGAGGGAAGGACGACUCCAACAACUUUAUUUCUCAAGAAACACAUUAUGAUGAAGAAUGACACUAGGGAUAACACUGCUUUUACUCUAUGAUACAAAUUGAUUGAAAUAUUCAACACAUUCACCAAAGGACACCCCAACCAAUUAUCCAUGCCAUUAGACAUAUGUUUCUUAAUUCGUGUCUUUGUUGCAAAAACCUGCUUCUUCUGCAAAGAAUUGCCCAUUACCCUGAACUAAACCCAAACUUACAAGAUAAAUACAAAAUAGAUGUCUCACUUAUAUGGUGAACUGAUCUUAAAGAAAGGCCACCCUUAUCAAAUGGAAGGCAUAUAUAAAAAUACGGAAGAAAUAGACAAGCAUGUCCUGAAUAAUAGAUCGAACAAGUUGAACUAUGAUAAAAUUUCUAGAUAUCAAGUUUUCCAAUAGCUUGAAAAUGAGAUGUCUUCGGUGCAUUUUUUAAAAUAGGGCAACCAAGAUAAGUAAGUGGAAUAUCACUUGUACUAAAAUCCAACAAAGCAACAAUGUGAGCCAUCUUGGAGGGUGAAAACCUGCAUAGAACUUGCUUAACAUAAUAUUCCAUUUCUAUUGCACUUGUGUUUUAUAUGAGUUUAGCCUGAGUUUAUCGUUAUUUCUUACAGAUAUGAGUUUCGCCUAAGGAUAGCUUUGGGGCCUACAGGAGAUUUGAUGCUGACAUCCCGAAUUCGAAAUACAAAUAAAGAUGGAAAAUCUUUUACCUUCACAUUUGCCUAUCAUACAUACCUCUAUGUUACCGAUAUCAGGUUUUGUGUGCCAUAUACAUAUUUUUUGUUCGUAAAUCAAUAUCAAAUAUAUUGUUGCAAUCUCAAUGAUAGAAUAUUUAAAUAACAUUUUAAUCAAUUGACUUAUGAAAUUAUUCUUGCUUUGUUCUCACUUAAAUAUGUUUUUACAUUUAUUAUUAAAGUACAUACUAUCUAAUGUUAUUGAAGCACAUAUUUGAGUAUUGCUAUUUGCUCUUAAGAUUUUUGAACUGGAUCAUUUGUCAGUAGAAGCUAAAUUUCACCUUACUUAUGUUCAGUGAAGUUCGAAUAGAAGGACUAGAGACAUUGGAUUAUCUAGAUAGCUUGAAGAAUAGAGAAAGAUUCACAGAACAAGGAGAUGCUAUUACAUUCGAGGGUGAAGUGAGUAUAUGUUAUCAAUUGAGCAAUUUCUUGUGUUUUAUUGAUUCAAAUAUGAAACUCUUAAAAAAAGUUUUGUUUAUUUGAUGAUGAAGGUGGACAAAGUGUACUUAAGCACACCCACAAAAAUUGCUAUAAUUGACCAUGAAAGAAAGAGAACUUUUGAAAUACGAAAAGAUGGGCUUCCUGAUGCUGGUUAGUAGUUUAUAUAUAUAUAUAUAUAUAUAUCACUACAUAAAAUAUGUUUGUUUGUUAUUAUUAUAAUAUACUAAUAGGAAUUUAUGUAUGUAUGUAUGUAGUUGUAUGGAACCCAUGGGACAAGAAAUCAAAGAUCAUAUCUGAUUUGGGAGAUGAUGAGUACAAACAUAUGUUGUGUGUCCAACCUGCUUGUGUAGAAAAAGCAAUUACUCUCAAACCUGGUGAAGAGUGGAAAGGAAGACAAGAAAUAUCUGCAGUUCCUUCAAGUUAUUGUAGUGGUCAACUUGAUCCACGAAAAGUACUAUUUCAUCAUUAGGAACUUUUGUUGCAUCAAUGGUGAUGUCUUCCCCAAUAUUGCUUCAAGUUCAUCAUUAACAAAAAUAUCUAUAUCAUUUUAGCCUUUAGUGUGUUCAACUUCUUGAGAAAAGAACUUGAUUGAUUAUUGUAUAUUUGCACAACCUUUCCACUAGGGGAUAGAACACCGCGCUCUUGCAUACAUAUAUCAUCUUUAAAUUUGAAAUAUGCAUCACAACCAGUGUCUUGAAACUAUUCUUUAACUUGCGUAAAAUUUUUUUAUAGAAAAUUUUGUGUUUUAUACAUUGAAAAUAAACAUAUAAAACGACUUUCUUUUAUUUAUAAUUACCUUAUUUAAAAUCCAUAAACAAUUUUCUUAGGACACUUGUAUAAGCCCCUCUUCUUAAAAGUUAGGAAAUAUUUCUUGUAUCAUCUUUUCUUCUUUAUUUUACUAACCUAUUUCAUAUUUUGUAGAUAACAUUUAUUGCUUUUAUUUACAUUUUAUUCUACAUAUGCAUGGUCAUUGAGUGAGACUGUUUUAACUUGGUAAGGGAGCAAGUGAGUUGAUCUUGAUGUUUGGGUGUGUGUGUGUGUGUGUGUGUGUGUUGUGUGUGUGUGUAUAUAUAUAUAUAUAUAAGGGUUAAUUAAGUUUUUGGUCCUUAUAAAUAUCUGCAGUUUUGUUUUUAGUCCCAAUGAAAAUAAAUCACAUUUUUUAGUCCCUAAAAAAUUUUCCGUUAGUGUUUUUAGUCCCUGUUAAAUUAAAAUUUGUUUAAUUAUGCUUAAAAUUUUAAAUUUUUUUAAUGAUUUUUUACAUACUUGUUUAAAACAUUAUAAAAGGUUCCGCUACAAUAAAUUAGCUCAAAAUUUUAUUUUUAGGUCCAAAUUUUCGUUAGUUUUAUCUUGAAUUUUUGGCGUUUUAAAAAAAUUAUAUUUAAUUCAUUACAUGUUAAAAAAUUCUAAUUUUUUAUAAAAGAGAUUAUUAUAAUGUUCUUAACAUGUCUGUUAAAAAUCAUUUAAAAAUAUAAAAGUUUAAGCAUAAUUAAACAAAUUUCAAUUUAAUAGGGACCAACACAUACUUUUAGUCCUUGUAAAAUUAAAAUUUGCUUAAUUGUGCUUAAACUUUUAAAUUUGUAACAUAUUUUUCACAUACUUACUUAGAAUAUUAUACAAAGUUCCUCCGCAAAAAAGUAACUUAAAAUUUUAUUAUUAGGUCCAAAUUUUCAUUAAUAUAAUUUUGAAAUUUUGGCUUUUAGAAAAAUUCAUAUUUAAUUCAUUACAUGUUAAAAAACUAAUUUUUUUUUUUUUUUUAUAAAAGAGUGUGUUACAUGUUAAAAAAUUAUGUUGUGAGAAAGAGCUAGACUACUACAACAUAAAGAACCAAUAAAGUCAUAAUAGUACUUUAUCAAAAAUAUUUUAUUUAAAUUUUAAUUAAAAUUUUCAUACGUUUUAGAUUUUUUUUUCUGGAUCAAAAGCAAUGGAAAAUGUUACGAGGAAACAAGACAUCCUAACUAAGUUGACACUCUAAGAUCACCUCCCUCGUCUGCCACCAUGCUCAUAAAUUUUAAAAAAAAAAUCAAAAACUGUAAAAAGAAAGCAGAAAAACAAAAUAAAACCCGAGACCUAAGGAAAAUGGUAAUUAAGAUCAAGCCCAACCCGAUCUUUAAAAAAUCCUGACAAAUAAAAGCGGGUAAAACAUCUCACCAGAAACAUAAUCUCCGAUCUAUGAUUCCGAUAAAAAUCAAGAAAUGCAGUUCGAAAUAAUAAAAUCAUAUAUCAAACCAAUUUAAUUACUUUCAUUUCAUAUUUCUUUUUCUCUUGAUAAUAAAACCAACCGAGUCAAUCUUUGUUGAUAUAAUACUAGUCAUAGAUAAUAUUUUAUUAAUUUUAGUAGAAUGUCUUUUAUCAAAUAAAAUUUAUCAAUAGUAGAAUAUAACGUCUUUUUAUUAAGCAAUUUGUUUAAAUAUUGUUUUAGGCAUAAGGUGAUUGCCUUGAUAGUCUUACCCUUGGGUCGGCACUUCAAGUCGUUGGGUAAGCAUGUAAAAAGUGUGACAAAUGUAACAAUUCAAUUUGGUUCAAUUUUACAGUCAAAUAAAUGUUCAAACUGACCUAAUUGACACUGAUUUGGUUUGGUUUGGUUGUGUUUUUAGUAUUUUCUAAAGUGGGAUCAGAUCAAACUAAAAGUUUGGUUUGGUUAAUUGGUUCGUUUGAAAUAAAUAUAUUUUCUUUCUUUAUUCUUAAAUAGAAAAAGUGUCACUAUUUUUUGCUUUGUCAAUAUUUUCCUUCUACUACCAUCUUUAUUCUUAAAUAAAACCUAUUAAAAAAUUAAAAUAUAACUAAUCCAUGAAGGUAAAAAAAAGAUACAAAUUUAAAAUUGACCAUACGAAACACCAUCUGCAUAAGUGGAUAUAGCAAUAUAUCAAUUUUAUAUGACACUUGCUAAUUUUAAUAACUCCGUCAACAAAGUAUAUGAAAUACAAGUUCAACUUACUUAUCAAAAUCAUUAUGUUCCAAAACGGUAGCUAGACUAAAAAAAAUUGCUUCCCUCUAAUUCAGCAAGAAUUCAAUCAACAACUCCAAUUUUUUAUUCACCAAAAAUAGAAGAGUUAAAUAUAUUUUUGAUUUUUUUAUAAAUAUUCAAAAUUUAUUAUUUAGUCUCUGUAAAAAAAAAAAAAAUUGAUAAAUCAUAUUUAUUCAUAACCUCUUCCAUUUCAGCGAUUGCAAAUUUCACUUUUAUAAACAACAAUAAACAAAGUGAAAAAAAAUUAUAUGACAUGUUAAAUAAAACAAAAAAUAUAUAAAAGUAUCACCGGAAAUUUUUAAAAAUGAAAUAAAACUAAUACAAAAAAUUUCAGAUUUUUCUGAGAAUAUGAAAAAAUUUAAAGAUGAAAAAUGGGUCAAAACGAUAUAAUUUUGAAUUUUGAGGGCGGAAUCUCAUUAGAUGUCCCCUUUAGGAGAGUCUUGAUCCUUGAAUUUUUUUUCUUCUGAUUAUAUGGGAAAGUUUUGGAGCAAUCUGAUCAAGUAACUUUAAAACAGGAUUUUCGACACAACUAACAACGACCUAAAAUAGAAGGGUGGAAGUUAGGAAGAUUAAUAUGACCCUUAAAUUGCCUAUCCAUGUUACAAAUAAGUCGUAAUUUGUGUUGAUACAGUUCAGAUUCUAUAAUCUGAACUGUUUUCCCUUGAAUAAUGGUGUUUAAGGGGUGUUCGAAUUAUAUAAUUCGAAAAAGCAAGAAAUGUGUCCUAUUUUUUAGGGUGUUCGGAUUAUAAAAUCCAAAUUGGUGAAAAACUCAAUUUUUCACCCCAAAAUUAGGGGAAAACUCAAUUUGGAUUAUAUGAUUGAACUCUCGUGGGCAUUUUCGUAGGAAAAAAAGGGUUUACAAGAAAUGAGUAGGCUGAAAAAAAUAAUAGUCUAAUAGUAAAAUGUGUAACUGUCUUAGGUACCGUUUGGUCAGACUUUUUUUCGGUUUAAAAGCUACUUUAAAACAAAGUAAAAAUAAAGCUCUUUAAGGAAAAAAUUAAAGCUGUUUGGUUUCUUUAUUAUUUUUUUUAGUUCUAAAGUUAUUGUUAAGUUAAAAGUUCUUUGGCAAACUAUUGUACAAAACAUUGAAUUUAUUAUUUUUUUGUUGUUGGUGUCCAGAGUUCGUACCCGCGACCUUGCAUAUAUUUAUAUGUUGUCUAUAUCAACUGAGCUAAGCUAGAGAAUAGUUUUUUUUUCUUCCAAUUAUACUGUAUAAUAAAUUUUGUUAUAAGAAUAUCAUAUUUUUGGUGUCAUUUAAAAAGUUAAGAAUUUAUAUUAUAUGGUAUUAUAUUUGUUACAUCGUUGGUGUCAUUGAAAAAGAUAUGCUUAGUUUUUUUAAUAAGAAAAAGAUUUGCAUAGUUUGUUACAAUAUAAAUGUGUAAAGUAUAUAUAAGUAUAAUUUUUUUAGGCAUCUAACUUGUACUUUUAAUUAAAAUCAAAAUUUAUAAAAAUAAUAAUUGUACGCAUUACGCAACACUAAAAAAGUUAUACGCAUUAGCGUAACAAAAAAAACAAACAUACGGACAUAAAAUAUUACUCUAAACGCUAAUGUGUGUGUAUAUUUGUGAGGCUGAAGAAAGAGAAUAAAAAUAUUUGGUGUCACUCAAUGACAGCAUGAAUAAAAAUAUUUGUGAGGUUGUAAUAAUUAAACGAUAUUAAAAUGAAAUAUAUAAGUGAUAAAAAGAUAAUAAAACUCCUUCAAAAAUAAAUAAUAAAAUUAAACUGAUCCUCCUUUAAAAAAAAUUAUAUGGACCAGUUAAAAAAAAUGGAAGGCAAAAACAAAUUGAAAAAUAAAAGAAAAGGUUGCCUGCGUGAGUAGAAGAGAGGUGCUUGUAAAAUAAAUUACGGAGAAGUAGCAUUCAACAACUUUUUGUUAAAGCUCAUUCCAUUCAAUUUCAUGCAUUCUAAAAAAAAAUACUUUUUUUCGAAGGUACUUUAUUGAUAUUGUGUUUGACCUAACUUCUCCUUAAAAAUGUAGAGAAUCUAAAAAGAAAAAAAAAAAAAAAAAAGGUCAAACGAUACCUUAAUAUUGAUUCACUGGUUUGUUGAAUCUCAAAAUAAAAAACCAAGAACGAAAUCAAACCAAUUAAGUUUGGUGCGACUAAUUUUUUAUUUAAUUUGGUUUGGUUUUUCGAUUUCAUUGGUAUUAUCUGUACCACUUACACUUCAAGCGACAACGUUAGAAGUUUUACGUUGAAUAGAUGAACUAUUAUACUCUCACCCCAAAUAAACUAGUAUACUAGCAAAGUCCAAAUAGAACCAAAUCAUAUAACUUCCUCUAAUAAAAACAAACCAUAUAACUUGCAUCUUUGUUUUAUUUUUUAUCCAUUUAACGUACAUUUUUUUCUUCUUAUUUAUGUGUUUUAGAAUAUUCAUUAUGUUGCCAGUAACUAUCAGAUUUGAGAAAAAUGUUAUUGUUACAUUUAGUUUUCAAUGUAACUUUUUUUUUCAAAUGCACCAUUUAAUUUUUGUUGUUGGUCAGAUGUACCAUUUAUUUAAUAGAACGCAAUCUAUGUGUAUUUUUUUAUGUGCUUUUUGUAUGGUUUUUAAUUGAACUAUUCAUAAUUUUUUCAAAUUCAUAAAUUUUUUAAAGUUGAAUAUUCUAUGAUCUUAUGUUUUCAAAAUAAACUUUCGUAUAAUAGAAUCUUUAAUCAAUGUUCUAAAGACACUUUUUAGCAUAAUCUUAAAAAAAAAAAAAAAAAAAACUGUAUUUAAUUAUAGGAAAAAACUUCUUAGUGUUAAUGUUACAAUUAAUAAUAAUCAUGCCAUUUUUUUUAAAGAAUAAUCAUAACAUUUUGUAUCAUCUAUAACUCCCUUUUGGUUUUUUUAAAGAAUCAUCUAUAACUCCCUUGUAAUCGGUUUUUCCCCUUUUUUUCCUAUCAUAUUCUCAAAUCUUCAACUUAAAUUCCUUAUUCCCUUUUUAUUUCAUUUUUUUUCCCUUUCUUUUCAUUAUGAACAAUGGUAUCGUUACAAUGCUUUGAUUUUUUUGGAUGCAAACUAGUUGAUGAAUCCAAUUAUCAUACGAAAAUUAAUAGGUUCUCUCUUCCAAAGGUAUGUGAUUCUAUUCGAUAUGUCAUUAAAAGAAUGAUUUCUUUCUAUUUUCCAUCAAACAUUCUUUUGAGAUGAGAUAAAGAAAUCCUCAAAGUGGAAGCAGAGACCCAGUGGACGUUGGAGUCAUUAAGGGAAGUAUAUAUGUCCCUCAAAUUGGUGACAUUGAAGUCACCAAUUUAACAAAUGCGGAAUGAAAUGGUUGAUCAAUAUGUCCCUCAAAUGAUUUAAUUGAUAUUUUUUUAUUAAUAUUUUUUGUGUUUAAACUUUGAUCGGAUCAUAACUCAUAGAUCGACUUUUUCAUAAAUGUAAGUAAUUUUGAAGUGCAUAUUGAGCACCCAUCAAGAAUGAUUGCAACCCAGAUCAUAGCGUGGUAGGUGAAAGGGAUAAGAUUUCCGUCCAAGUGUGAAAAAGCGACUCAUUCUACACCAUGAAUAAUGUAGCCAUUGAAUUGGUCUUAUGGUAGGUAAAAAGAAAAGGAAAAAUAUUAAAACAUAAUUAUUUGGUCUAUACUUUUUUUUUUUUUCUUUUCUGACAAAAGGUCUUUAUUUUUUUGAAUUUUUUUUUAAAAAAUUAGUCUUCAUAAUUACGUGCAAAUAAUAUCUGAUCUACAUAAAAAAAAAAAGUCACCAAUAAUAAAAGAAAAAGUAUUUUUCCUUUGAUUUUACCCCACUGAAUGCCAUAAAGAUUUAAAAAAAAAAAAAGAAUUUUAAUUGACAAUUUUUGGCAUUGAUUUUUUAAUUAAUCAACUUAUAAAGUAAAAUGUAAUUUAUUUACCAAACUUAGUUUGAUUUUGAUCCAACCACUUGUAAUUAUAGUAGAGAAUUAAUAAAAUUUAAACACAAAUCACUCUCACCAACUCCUUUCCUUACCCACCAACUAUAUUUAUUGAAUUGUCCAUUUUGUCCCUUCACCAACCACGACCACCUUUUAACCAAUUUCCAUGUGGCUGGCUGGCUACAUUCACAUCACCUUAGCCAUAACAAGUCCUAUAUUACACAAGUGAAGUUCUUGUUCUUUCUCAAGAGAAUAAUUGAAAUCAUCAACAAUAUUCAUUCUCUUUAAGCAAACAAUAACAUUCUAAUGACUAUCCAAACAAUGGAACAAGAGUUGAUUUUCAAGUCUAAGCUUCCUGAUAUUUACAUUCCCAAACACCUUCCUCUUCAUUCAUAUUGCUUUGAAAAUCUAUCAAAAUAUGGUUCACGUCCUUGCCUCAUCAAUGCUCCAACUGCUGAAAUUUACACCUACUAUGAUGUCCAACUCACCGCGCAAAAAGUCGCCUCCGGUCUCAACAAACUUGGCAUCCAACAGGGGGAUGUCAUCAUGGUUCUUCUCCCUAAUUGCCCGGAAUUUGUGUUCGCCUUUCUCGGUGCUUCUUUUCGCGGCGCCAUAAUGACUGCCGCCAAUCCCUUCUUCACUUCAGCUGAGAUUGCUAAACAAGCAAAAGCUUCCAAUACUAAGUUGCUUGUAACACAAGCUUGUUACUAUGACAAAGUUAAGGAUUUGGAAAAUGUGAAGCUGGUUUUCGUGGAUUCUUCCCCGGAGGAGGACAAUCACAUGCAUUUCAGUGAGCUGAUUCAGGCUGAUCAGAAUGAAAUGGAAGAGGUAAUGUUCAUAUUGAUGCAGUUGAUUCCAAUUUUCCUAAAGUUACAUAUUACUUUGUCUAAUAGUAAUUAUUAUUAUCAUAUUUGAAAAUAAAAAUUUAGUCUAAAGUAACAAACAUAUUACUUUUUUAAAUAAUACUAUGUGAAUUACUUUGAAAAUAUUAUUCAUAUAUAAGGUGAGUGGCAAAGUUGAUUGUCUAACUGAAUACCAUAUAAUAAUUGAAUAAUAUAUAGUAUUGUAUAUAUCUACUAAUAAUCAAUCAAUAUUCUAACUAAUUUCCUUAAUUCCAACAGGUAAAAGUGAACAUCAAACCCGAUGAUGUGGUUGCAUUGCCAUAUUCAUCUGGAACAACCGGUCUACCUAAAGGUGUUAUGCUAACACACAAAGGGUUGGUGACAAGCAUAGCACAACAAGUUGAUGGAGAAAAUCCAAAUCUAUAUUAUCACAGUGAAGAUGUCAUACUAUGUGUUCUUCCCAUGUUUCAUAUUUACUCACUCAACUCAGUUUUGCUUUGUGGUUUGAGAGCUAAAGCUUCAAUAUUAUUAAUGCCAAAGUUUGACAUUAAUGCAUUUUUUGGCCUUGUUACUAAAUACAAAGUCACCAUUGCUCCUGUUGUGCCACCAAUUGUUUUGGCUAUUGCUAAGUCACCUGAACUUGAUAAAUAUGACCUUUCAUCCAUUAGGGUAUUGAAAUCUGGUGGGGCCCCACUUGGUAAAGAACUUGAGGAUACUGUUAGGGCCAAAUUUCCCAAAGCUAAAUUGGGACAGGGUUAUGGGAUGACUGAAGCAGGUCCAGUUUUAACAAUGUGUUUAUCAUUUGCUAAAGAGCCAAUAGAUGUGAAAUCAGGUGCAUGUGGAACAGUUGUUAGAAAUGCUGAGAUGAAGAUUGUUGAUCCUCAAAAUGACUCCUCUUUGCCUAGAAAUCAACCUGGUGAAAUUUGUAUUAGAGGCGACCAAAUCAUGAAAGGUAUCAAUGAAUAUUCUUUAUUAUUCAGAUUUUAAUUUAUAUUUAAAUUAUAUAAAGUGUGAAUAUUCAGUGAUCAUUGUUGUUAUUCGUUUAUUAAAAAAGAGAAAUAAUAAGUCAAUACAUGAUUGUUGUACUACGUCAUAAUUUGGUCUUCUCUUUUCAAAGGUUGGUGGCUUGCAUUGUGUACCACAUUUUUUAAAUGAUUCUAAAUUUUGUGUCAAAGGGUAGGUCAGCCCUUAAGACUAUAGUCUUAUCUUACUUAGCACACUUUUUUGUCACUAAAGCCAACCAACAAUUUUUUAAUCAACAUGGAUUUAUAGGUCGUUAAAUUUUUUAAUCAAAAUAUAUAUAGUAAAUUUAAAAAAAAAAAAAAAAAACGCUAAAUAAAAUCAAUUUUAUUUUAAUUCUUUCAGUGCACCGUAUAUUUAUUAUUGUUUGUCCUCACCAAACAUUGAAAAUCGUAGGCAAUGAAAAUGUUCUUCAAACCUCUACCAACUUUUUUUUUUUAUCAAGUCAAAUCUAUACCUACCUUGGACUAAGGUUGAUGAAGACUUGAAGUAUAUAUACGUACUAUGUCCAAAGAAGGUGAAUCACAUUUAGCUUAGGUGUCAAAUGAUAGUACUCCUUUGUCAAAGCUUAAACAUAGAAAAGUCAUAUAUGAAAUAUGAAUCUUGAGAGGAUUGCAUGCCAACCACACUUUAUUUUUUUACGGUUAUUUCAUAACCACUUUAAUAUAUUAGGAUUGUGAAAAUAUUACCGUGUACAGAAAUUAAAAAAUAUAUGAUAUAUUAAAAAUGCAACUAAAGACUGAUUUGAACAUUAUUAAUAUAGGUUAUCUAAACAACCCGGAAGCAACGAGGGAAACAAUAGACAAGGAAGGUUGGUUGCAUACUGGUGACAUUGGAUUCAUUGACGAUGAUGAUGAGUUGUUCAUAGUUGAUAGACUUAAAGAAUUGAUUAAAUACAAAGGUUUUCAAGUUGCUCCAGCUGAACUUGAAGCCAUUAUUCUCUCACAUCCUCAAAUUUCCGAUGUCGCUGUCGUCCCGUAAGUGCCUAUGCCCUAAAACUAGUUCGAUAGAAUGUGAAAAAAAUUCUCCACAUUGUAAUAAUUAAUAAAUAAAAUGUGUAUGGUUGAUAUUUAUAGAAUGUUAGAUGAAGCAGCUGGUGAGGUGCCAGUAGCAUUUGUUGUAAGAUCAAAUGGAAGUAUUGACACAACUGAGGAUGACAUUAAGAAGUUCGUCUCCAAACAGGUAAUUCAACCCAGCCCAUUUAUAAUUAGGGAACUUCCGCGGUACACUCACAAAGUGAGGUGUACCGAUACUCCUGUUUCAUAAUUUUAUAAAUUAACGAUCAUUUUUAUAUAAUAAAUAACUAUUUUUUAAUAUUUAUAUUUUAUAGAACAUUAUUUCAUAAGAAAAAACAUCAUUUCAUUGUUUAUAAGAAUUAUAGUAAUUUUUUUACAUAUUAUCAUAAAAAAUAAUGAAUGUUCUCGAUUAUGAGUGAUAAAAAUUCAAAAAAUAAUAAUUUUAUUUUGUUGACAUUUUUGAUGAAUAAGAUUUAGUUAUUAUAAUUAUAAAUGAUAAAAAAUAAUAUUUUUCUUCAAAAAAGAACUUAUUUAACUAUUAAUUUAAAGAGUAGGUGUACCGGUACACUUAAAUAUAUUGGAUGUACCAUAGAAUUUGCCUUAUAAUUAAUAAUAUUUUAUAAAAUUUAUUUUAAGAAUAUUUUUUGUUUUGAAACAAAUACUAAUUAAUGUGUGUGUUUGUGGUAUGCAGGUUGUGUUUUACAAAAGAAUAAACAGAGUAUUCUUCAUUGAUGCCAUUCCCAAGUCACCUUCAGGCAAAAUAUUAAGAAAGGACCUAAGGGCUAAGCUUGCAGCUGGUGUUCCAAAUUAAUCAAUCAGUUCCCAUAUACCAUGUAUUUUAUUCACAACCUGUUAUAAAAAUGUAUCAUAUCAUUGAGACCGAAUGAAAUUAGACAUGUUUUGUUUAACUAGCUCAUAAGUAAGGUUUGAUUAAAUCACAUUGUUAAAUAUGUUUUUAGUCUUAUUUAUAUGUCAAGUUUUUCUCGUAGUCUCUCUAAAAUUUUCCUUAAAUUUUUAGUCCCUCAAAAUUUUCCCAUCUUCACUUUUGGUUCCUCCUUUAAAGUAAAAUCAUACGUAGAAUUCAUAUUUUUAAAUAAAAUUUUGCAGGAAAAAAUCAUAAUAUUAUAAUAAUUUCUCUCAAAAAUAAUUAAAUUUUUUUAACAAAAUAUGAAUUUAAUAUGAAUUUUUAUAUUUUUUACGGUUAAAAAUUCAUAUUUAAUUUAUGUUUUAUUAAAAAAAAUCUAAUUUUUUCUGGGGAUAUUUUUUACAAUAUUCGACAUAUUUAUGCACAAUUUCAUUAAAAAAAAAUACAAAAAUUAACUUAAAAUAGUGAUUGAAAAUUUUAGAAGGACUAAAAGUUGAAGGAAAUUUUUAGAGGAACUAAAACGAAAAGUUAAUAUAUUUAUAAGGACAAAAAAAUAUAUUUAACUCUUUUAUAUAUUACUACUAUUCAUUUAGCUUAUUUUUAUCGUGGAACUAAUCAUUCGUAUACAUUUUUUGACAAGAAUCAUUCGUAUACUUGAAUCCUAUAAAUCAAGAAGAAGAAAAACCAUAUAAUCAAGUGAGCUGGGAAUGUAUGAACUACAACACUACAUAAUCUUUUAAAAAGAAUGCCGCAACUUUUUAAACAACAUAAAAAAAUAAAAAAUAAAACUAAUAGCUAGUUUUUUUUUUUUUUUUUUAAUUUUUAAGUGUCUCUUUUGAAGAAAUUUUUUGUUCCUAUUUAAUUGUCACUUUCAAAGUUCAAUGCAACAUUAAAUGUUAUUUUACCAAUAUUAUCCUUAGUUAUUUAUUGCGGAGAGAUAAAUAUAUGAAAUGAGAUAUUAAAUGAAUAAGGUCAUUAUAGUAAAAGUACAACUUAUUGCAUCAAAAAUAGUAACAAUCAUUGACUAUCUUGGUUUAUGUAAAAUGUCAAAAUGUGACAAUUAAAAAGGAACGGAGGUAGUAAUAGUUAGUUAGCUACUAAAUUACACCAGAAUCAAAAUUAAACAAUUGUUAAAACGAAAAUUUAACCAAUAAAAAUUUCCCAAACAUAAUAUUUAAGAUUCCUCCUUGGAGGGUGGUUCUGCAUAAAGUGAUCAAACCUUAACUCAUCAGCUCUCCCUUGAACUUGUUGCCCUUGCAUCGCAUUCGCACUCACUUGUGCCAAUGCCUGAGCCAUCGCAUUAGCAAUUGCAACAUCGUUACUUUCCAGACAUCUCAGCACUACACACAAACCACAACCAACUAAUAAGAACAAAAGAACAAGUAUCAAAAGUAUUCUGAUAGUAUUCACAUACAAACAGGAAAACAUCCAAAUUUUGGCCCAGACUAGAACGACAUGACUCUGAUACCAACUUGUAACACCCUCAAACCCCAUAUGCAAUACUUAAUAAUAAUAAUUCAACAGAUAAAUACAAGGUUCAAGGUGAUAUGUCUUCAAUAAUCCCAAAAACAUGCAUAAUUCAUUUUCAUAAUUAUAAAACAGUCGCAACAGAUUCAUAAAGUAAAACAACAUAAAACAAACAUCUCAAGGUACAUGAUCAUACACAUAAGGGUUUCUCAUAAAUAAUCCAACAAAUGAAAAUAAACAAAAUCCCGACAGAGUCCUAAAUCAUAGCCUACAACUUGACUCGAAAAGCAAGCGAGGUAGCAUCAAGCUAUCCCCGGGUACUCACGACGAUCACGCGUCCUCAAUCCUGCACGUCUACACCACCCAAACGAAUGGCAUUGGCGGAAACCCGUAAAAGGGUGAGAAAUACUCAACAAAGAAAAUCAUGAACAUAAGCAUAGAUUCAAGACAACAAAUAUCAUAUAGUCAACAAUUCAAUAUCUCAGGUAAUAUUCUCAUUUAAAUAGGCAUAUCAAUUCUCAAAUUAUAGAUCCAAGAUAUAUCAAAUCUUUACAUCAUCACCUUAUCAUCAAAUCAUUUCACGUUGUUAACAAUUCAACACCAUCAUUACAAGUACACAAAGAUCACCAAAUGUUCACAUAAUCAUGUACACAUCAUCACAUAUAAUCACAUAAUUGAAUACAUGACUCUCAUAUCAAUCCAUAUGCAUGCUAUGUUAUAGACACGAUUCUACAUGCAGGUGUACCAUUUUUGGAUGUUGGAGUUCUAUUAUCGAUUGAUCUCAUCGUCACUUAUAGUCACUUAACAUCAUCACUUGGACUUGACCAUGCAUGCAUGAUCAUAUGACUCAACAAUGUAUAUAUGCAUACACUAUAACACACGUCAUCAACAUCGUCACUUUAUACAUAUAUAUUUUCAUCGUCACUAGUCAACAUCAUCAUUUUUCAUCAUCACUUUAUAUAUGUAUACUCGUCAUAAAAAAUCACCAUCAUCACUAAUUAUCAUCAUCAAGAUCAUCCUCAUAAUCAUCAUUAUAAUCAUUAUAAAACAUAUACUUUAUAAAGUAGGUAACAUCACUUCAUUUAGCAAAACUAGCCUUUGAAACGAUUAAUCAUUUACGCCUAGCUAAUCCACAUUUCAAGUAUACAUAUCAUAGCAAAAUUAAUCAUCAUUCGUCAUCCCAUCAAUAUCACGUAGUCAUUUUCAAAUUAUCAUAGCAUAUAUCGUUAAUUUCCAAAGUCCGUCUAUUUUCUACAUUUGUCAAAGUUCGUUUAUUUUCACAAUUUCAAAACAUUCAAUCCAAUUCCAACCUAAGCUAGGUUAAACCAAUUGUAAGUACUCAAAACAGGAGGAUUAUAUAGCAGAUUAAAAGAAAUUACCCAUUAUAUUUGGCUUUGAUGUGAAAUGGUUUCAUUAUGGUGGUGGUGAUAAUAGAUGGUGGUGAUAUGGGUGGUGGUGAUGAUGAUAUGUGUAAUGAUGAUGAACUCGCUUUCUUUGAAAAGGUUGCCACUUGGUAUACUGAGGAAUCACCGAGAAAAUAUUUUUUCGCCGAACAUGAGGAACCCGGAAUCAUUACAUUGUGCGUCGGAACCGACUGUUUGGUUUAUCGCUUAAAUAGAGGUGUUAAGAUCCCAAAGUAGUUUGGUCAGAUGUUGUUUAUGGAUACAAACAAUAUGUUUGUCGGACGGAAUGUUAAAAGAAAUUUACAUAAGAUGUUAGGUUUUCUUGCUGAAGGGGUUGUUGGUCUCGAUCAGUUCAAACCUGGAAGUGGAUAUGAGAGUAUAAGGAAUUAUUCAGAGGCCAUUGAUGUUCAUGACUGUGUUGGAAACAUCCCCUUUAACUUCCCUCAUGUUGGAGCAGCAAUGCAAAUUUGAAUGAAAGGCAUAUUCAAUCUCUUACGGUUACUUCUUACUUGUCCUGCAAUAUUGGGAACAGUUUCAUUGGGCCAUAGAUCGAUGGAUGUUUUGCUUUGCUUUUUUUACCACUUGAUUUGAAUCUCUUAGUAGUAUCAAUCAUUUAAAUUGCUGUGUUAAUUAGAUUUUAUGUUAUCUGAUGAUUUGGUUUGGUUUGUUUGUUUGGAUCGUUUAGUUUGUUUUGAGUUUGUAUUUCUUGUUAGACAAAAAAAUUACCACUUGCAUUGUGUGUUUGCAUGUGAUGUUGUAUUUGUUGUUUUAUUUUUGUUGGACGUCCUAUCAUUGUUGGUUUAUUUAUUUGAUUGUAAUGGUAAUUAGAAUUAGGGGAGGGUACCUAGUCGUGGGAGUGUUGUUUAAUGGUGAUGAGGAGGGGAGGGUAAAAUGGGAGCGGUAAGUUUAUUUUCCCUUUGUGAUAAUAAUAAUGUAAGGAGUAAAUUUUUUGUGCAUUAUAGAAACGCUGGUAAGAUGCAUGGGAUAGUUGGAUCAUCAUAUCAAUUUAACAAUAUCAAUUAUUCAGCGAUCCAUGUUAAUGCACUCUUUAUUGGAACCCUUUGGAUUUAUAACAUAAGUGUAACAGAAUUUUUGUUAGAAUAUUAAAUGUAUCUAAUUGUUUUCUUUUUCCUAGCUGGACACCGGUUGUGUAUAAAUCAUGUCUUGUACAAUUAUCACAUGUUGUGCAAUUAUUUGUUGCCGUAUCACAAUGGAAUUGUAUGUUGAGAAGUGAGAUCUAAUGAGAUAGAAUACAAGUUUAAAAACUAUACAUUAUGAAAAAUUGUGAAAUUUAGUUCAACUUCUAAAUGAAUUUUAUGGUCUAUUGUUGCUAAAUUCAUGGGAUAUAUUGGGUGUUGCUUUUUUACUAAUACUAUUUAUUAGGUGUAUAAUAUGUCCUGGAUUGUGUUUAGUUUGACUCGAAUAUUUCAACUUGUUUUGUCUAAAAGUGAAAUUGAUUCAUAAACUCAUUCGUAUGUUCAUUUAAGCACAUAUUUCUUUUGCCUCCUUUAAUUAAGCUCAUGAAUAUAAACGAAUCUCGGCUUCUCAAAUAUAAUUUGCUACUAGGAGUGAAAACCAAAAAAAAUAGAGGAAGGUAUUUCCAUCGGUACCACUUGCAUUGUGUGUUUGCAUGUGUUAAUUAGAUUUUAUGUUAUCUGAUGAUUUGGUUUGGUUUGUUUGUUUGGAUCGUUUAGUUUGUUUUGAGUUUGUAUUUCUUGUUAGACAAAAAAAUUACCACUUUCAUUGUGUGUUUGCAUGUGAUGUUUUAUAUUUGUUGUAUUUGUACCAAUUCAUACAAAAAAUUAAUAAAACGUGAAUUCUGAAACUCGUAUUACUCAACAUUGAAUCUCCUAGGUUCAUUUUUGCUUAUAUUUUUAAAUUCGCCACUAGGCUCUAAUAUUUGGAAUAGCCGAAUUGGCAAGCAUGCGUUUGCUGGCAAGUUCAAAACGUUAGACUCUGCUAUCUGAAAUUAUCGUGGACCGAUGGUAUGACCUAGAUCAAAUAACCAAGGUCAUUCAUAUAAAGUCUAUGAGAUGUACAUAUAAAAAACACUACAACCAUUGCCAAACACAUGAUGAUAUGGAGUUAUUUGGUAACACUCCAAAGAAACCAAAUAUUGUGGAUCUUAGUUUGCACAUUUAGUUAUCAGUUUUGAAUUAAUUGAAUUGGCAAUUUUACUUUAGGGUUUAUGUGCAUGUUGUAUAAUAAUUUCCCUACUCUCAUUUCUACAUGUUAUAAUAUAUAUCAUCAAAUCACCUACAAAUUUUUCAACCCCGUUCUCUCUUCAUUUCUUUCUUUAGAAAACCAAAACCACACUCUUCUUCACUCUCUUUCUCUCUCCUUGUUCUCUCAUUUCUCUCUGCAUGUUAUAGCAUCCAAUCAACUACAAAUUUUCCAAACCCUCUCUCACUCUCUCUCUCUCUCUCUCUCUCUCUCUCUCUCUCUCUCAAAAAUCAAAACCUUGCUCUUUCUCUCUCAAUUUCUUGAUUUUCUUGUUUCUCUCUCUUCAUUUCAUAUCAACGCAAUGAACCAACUUUUGAUUCAAACCACUCUUAGAGCAAUUGCCACAAAUUUUCGUAUGUACAGAGUGAAACUAGAUAAUACAUAUAUCUUCACAACAGUCACGUCUGAUAGAGGUAUGGCUACACGAUCGUUAGAAUAUCGUAUGGUAGAAACUCUGAAAAAGGAAAUAGAGAAAUCAAAACAGGAGGAUUAUAUAGCAGAUGAAAAGAAAUUACCCAUUAUAUUUGGCUUGGAUGUGAAAUGGUUUCAUUAUGGUGGUGGUGAUAUAAAUAGUGGUGAUAUGGGUGGUGGUGAUGAUGAUGAUAUGUGUAAUGAUGAUGAACUCGCUUUCUUUGUAAAGGUUGCCACUUGGUAUACUGAGGAGUCAUAGAGAAAAUAUUUUGUCGCCAAACAUGAGGAACCCGGAAUCAUUACAUUGUGCGUCGGAACCGACUGUUUGGUUUAUCGCUUAAAUAGAGGUGUUAAGAUCCCAAAGCAGUUUGGUCAGAUGUUGUUUAUGGAUACAAACAAUAUGUUUGUCGGACGGAAUGUUAAAAGAAAUUUACAUAAGAUGUAAGGUUUUCUUGCUGAAGGGGUUCUUGGUCUCGAUCAGUUCAAACCUGGAAGUGGAUAUGAGAGUAUAAGGAAUUAUUUAGAGGCCAUUGAUGUUCGUGACUGUGUUGGAAACAGCACCUUUAACUUCCCUCAUGUUGGAGCAGCAAUGCAGAUUUGAAUGAAAGGCAUAUUCAAUCUCUUACGGUUACUUCUUACUUGUCCUGCAAUAUUGGGAACAGUUUCAUUGGGCCAUAGACCGAUGGAUGUUUUGCUUUACUUUUUUUUACCACUUGAUUUGAAUCUCUUAGUAGUAUCAAUCAUUUAAAUUGAUGUGUUAAUUAGAUUUUAUGUUAUCUGAUGGUUUGGUUUGAUCUGUUUGUUUGGAUCGUUUAGUUUGUUUUGAAUUUGUAUUUUUUGUUAGACAUAAAAAUUACCACUUGCAUUGUGUGUUUGUAUAUGAUGUUGUAUUUGUAAUUUUAUUUGUGUUGGACGUCCUAUCAUUGUUGGUUUAUUUAUUUGAUUGUAAUGGUAAUUAGAAUUAGGGGAGGGUACCUAGUCGUGGGAGUGUUGUUUAAUGGUGAUGAGGAGGGGAGAGGUAAGUUUCUUUUCCCUUUGUGAUAAUAGUAAUGUAAGGAGUAAAUUUUUUGUGCAUUAUAGAAAUGCUGGUAAGAUGCAUGUGAUAGUUGGAUCAUCAUAUCAAUUUAACCAUAUCAAUUAUUCAGCGAUCCAUGUUAAUGCAUUCUUUAUUGGAACCCUUUAAAUUUAUAUCAUAAGUGUAACAAAAUUUUUGUUAGAAUAUUCAAUGUAUCUAAUUGUUUUCUUCUUCCUAGCUAGACACCGGUUGUGUAUAAAUCAUGUCUUGUGCAAUUAUCACAUGUUGUGCAAUUAUUUGUUGUCGUAUCAUAGUGGAAUUGUAUGCUGAGAAGUGAGAUCUAAUGAGAUACAAUACAAGUUUAAAAACUAUACAUUAUGAAAAAUUGUGAAAUUUAGUUCAACUUCUAAAUGAAUUCUAUGGUCUACUGUUGCUGAAUUCAUGGGAUAUAUGGGGUGUUGCUUUUUUACUAAUACUAUUUAUUAGGUGUAUAAUAUGUCCUGGAUUGUAUUUAGUUAGACUCGAAUAUUUCAACUUGUUUUGUCUAAAAGUGAAAUUGAUUCAUAAACUCAUUCGUAUGUUCAUUUAAGCACAUAUUUCUUUUGCCUCCUUUAAUUAAGCUCAUGAAUAUAAACAAAUCUCGGCUUCUCAAAUAUAAUUUGCUACUAGGAGUGAAAACCAAAAAAAAUAGAGGAAAGUAUUUCCAUCGGUACCAAUUCAUACAAAAAAUUAUAAUAAACGUGAAUUCUGAAACUCAUAUUACUCAACAUUGGAUCUCUUAGGUUCAUUUUUGCUUAUAUUUUUAGAUUCGCCACUAGGCUCUAAUAUCUGGAAUAGCCGAAUUGGCAGGCAUGUGUUUGAUGGGAAGUUCAAAACAUUAGACUCUGCUAUCUGAAAUUAUCGUAGACCGAUGGUAUGACCUAGAUCACAUAACCAAGGUCAUUCAUAUAAAGUCUAUGAGAUGUACAUAUAAAAAACACUACAACCAUUGCCAAACAGAUGAUGAUAUGGAGUUAUUUGGUAACACUCCAAAGAAACCAAAUAUUGUGGAUCUUAGUUUGGACAUUUAGUUAUUGUAACACUCCGUUUUCCCAACGUAAAAAUUUCAUUUAAUUAAUCAGAGUAAUUCACAAAAAUGGAAUGUCACACUUCUUUUCUUAAAAUCAUAAACGGAAUAAUUAACUAAUUAUCCUUCAAAAUUCAAUAACAUAAUAUUUAAUACUUCGCAGCGGAAUUUAUUCGAACAUCUAAAAUAAUUUUGGCACGAAGGCCUCAUCAAAGUAUCUCAUAAAAAUCCAAUUAACUACUUAAUCAUGUAAAUUCAUAAGCAAUAUGUAAGGAAUAGAAAAGCAUGCAACAAACUCAUCUCGUUACGUAUCAGAGCACCUAAAGACACACAUGAGAGAUAAUCCACUUACGACAGCAAUCUAACAUCAACUUAAACUCGAUCACCUGCAAGUUACUCAUACGAAGAGCAACAUUUCCAAGCAGAAGGGGUGAGAUUUCACAAAACAAUAAUAUCAAGCAUAUAAUUCAGUAAUUAUAUUUAACAACAUAAAUAACUUCAUCUAUUAGUAAUAAUAAUCAUUUAUGUAAUGAUUCUUAAUAACUCAACCAACUUCUAAUUAUCAUUAACUUCAUAUUCAUCACAUUGUAAACUUCAUCAUAUAGCACAUAAUAACCAAAUCAUAACCAACAUAGAUCAUCACAUCAUAAAUAUCAUCUUUAACACACAACAUAAUCAUCAUCUCAUAAUAACUUAGACCACACAACAUAAUCAUCACUUAAUAAUAAUAAUAAUCAUAUACAACAUAACAUAAUCAUCAUCUUAUAAUGAUAUAAACAACACAUAUUCAUCAUCUUAUAAUAAUACAACAACACAUAUUCAUCAUCUUAUAAUAAUAUAACAGCAACAUAUUCAUCAUCUCAUCAUAAUAUAACAACACAUAUUCAUCAUCUCAUAAUAACUUAAAAACAACAUAUUCAUCAUCUCGUCAUAAUAUAACAACACAUAUUUAUCAUCUCAUAAUAACUUAAACAACAACAUAUUCAUCAUCUCGUCAUAAUAUAACAACACAUAUUUAUCAUUUCAUAAUAACUUAAACAACAACGAUUAAUAAAUAUUAAUAUUUCACUUAGUUCUUUAUGAACAACUUAUUGACAAAUGACAACUUAACGACAACAACAACGCAACUUCAACUUCUUAAUCAUGCAUGUGGUACCAACCAGGGCAUCAAGCCCCCAACAUAUUGAGUGUAAAUAGGCUCACAGAGCAUCAAGCUCUCUCCCUUCACAUAUUAUGUAUAAAUAUACAUUACAGAGCAUCAAGCCCUCACCCAACGUAAAUGAGUAUGCAAUGGACUCAAUAUCUUAACAACUUAACAGCUUAGACAUCUCUUAUGACUCCAAUAAUUUGGAUCAACAUCUUACAACUUAAACCAACAUUAGCAUCUUAAUGAUAUUAAUACAUCACAUCAGCAAGGCAACACCAUCAAAUAAUUUACAGCAAGUCAACAUCAACAAUAAUCAUCUAAUACAACCAUUAUAACUUCAUAUCAACGUCUUUCACAAUAUAUAAAUAUUCUCACAUUAAUCAUCAAAGUAAAUCAACAUCUUAAAACAUCAUAUAUACAUAUAACACUUCAUCAAUCAUGGACAAUAUUGUAUUCACAACAUAUACUAAUUCAUCAAUCAUAAACAACAUCAUACUCAUAAACAUAUACAUUCAUAUAACACUUCAUCAAUCAUGAACAAUAUCGUAUUCACAAACAUAUACAUACAUAUACUAAUUCAUCAAUCAUAUUCAAUUAUUCACUGUGACCUACGUGCAGUAAUUUGACCAUAAAUCAAGUUCUAUAAAUCGUUUUGAAGUCAAACUAACGACAUUAGAAAGCUAACAUCCAUACCUACAACUUUCGUGUUUACACCUAAGACUAAUUUUGUAUCAAUCAAUACCAGUUUUCAUUUCAAAUUCAGACAAAGUUGUGCUGAAAUUCAUAAAAAAUCACUAUGACCUACGUGCAGUAAUUUGACCAUAACUCAAGUUCUAUAAAUCUUUUUGAUGUCAGACCAACGGCAUUAGAAAGCUAACAUCCAUACCUACAACUUUAGUGUUUACACCUAAGACCAAUUCUGUACCAAUCAAUACCAGUUUUCAUUUCAAAUUCGGACAAAGUUGUGCUGAUAUUCAUAAAAAUUCACUGUGACCUACGUGCAGUAAUUUGACCAUAACUCAAAUUCUAUAAAUCUUUUUGACGUCAGACCAACGACAUUAGAAAGCUAACAUCCAUACCUACAACUUUCGGGUUUACACCUAAGACCAAUUCUAUACAAAUCAAUACCACAUUUCAUUUCAAAUUCGGGGCAGAGAUGAAAAGAAAAAUCAUAAAAAGCAACAUAUAUUAUUCAACUUCACUUUCAUUCAAAAUCAUCACAAUCAUCACUCUUAACCCUAAUUCUCAAAUUCUCAAAAACUAAACCUACAACAUGUUAAAUACAAUUUUCAGAAUCAUAGACUCAAGAUUAUUGAAUGUUAGUCCCACCCUUACCUUAGAGAUUGACAGCAAGGUUCUACAGACUUCUCAUUCUCUGACUCUUCUCUUCUCUUUGUUUUCUCCCAAAUGGUUUUCACGUAAAAACUAUUCUAACCUAAUUUCUCCUCUUUUAUAUCACUAACCACUUCUCUUAAUUCUACUUAAGCCCACUAAACUUCUUUAAUUUCUAAUUCAGCCCCCCAAGUCUACUUAUUCUAUUAUUUAAUCAUAUUCUAAUAAAUAAUAAAAUAAAACCACUUAAUAAAAUAUCAACAUACCACAUAAUCAAAUAAUUCAUAUAAUUCGACUCUAUCUCAUUAAAAUAAUUAAAUAAACAAAUAUAGGCUACUAAUUUAUAUAUCAACACAUAACAAAAUAUCACUUAUCAAAUAAGUUAAUUAAAUUCUAGAAGAACGGACUCUAAACUCAAAUAAAUAAAUAAAUAAAACAAAUAAUUCAAAGAGGGCGUUACAGAUAUCAGUUUUGAAUUAAUUGAAUUGGCAAUUUUACUUUAGGGUUUAUGUGCAUGUUGUAUAAUAAUUCCCCUACUCUCAUUUCUACAUGUUAUAAUAUAUAUCAUGAAAUCACCUACAAAUUUUUCAACCCCGGUAUCUCUUCAUUUCUUUCUUUAGAAAACCAAAACCACACUCUUCUUCACUCUCUUUCUCUCUCCUUGUUCUCUCAUUUCUCUCUGCAUGUUAUAGCAUCCAAUCACCUACAAAUUUUCCAACCUCUCUCUCUCUCUCUCUCUCUCUCUCUCUCUCUUUCAAAAAUUAAAACCUCGCUCUUUCUCUCUCAAUUUCUUGAUUUUCUUGUUUCUCUCUCUUCAUUUCAUAUCAACCCAAUGAACCAACUUUUGAUUCAAACCACUCUUAGAGCAACCACCACCAAUUUUCGUAUAUACAGAGCGAAACUAGAUAAUACAGAUAUCUUCACAACAGUCACAUCUGAUAGAGGUAUGGCUACACGAUGGUUAGAAUAUCGUAUGGUAGAAACUCUGAAAAAGGAAAUAGAGAAAUCAAGACAGGAGGAUUAUAUAGCAGAUGAAAAGAAAUUACCCAUUAUAUUUGGCUUGGAUUUGAAAUGGUUUCAUUAUUGUGGUGGUGAUAUAGAUGGUGGUGAUAUGGGUGGUGGUGAUGAUGAUAAUGAUAUGUGUAAUGAUGAUGAACUCGCUUUCUUUGAAAAGGUUGCCACUUGGUAUACUGAAGAGUCACCGAGAAAAUAUUUUGUCGCCGAACAUGAGGAACCCGGAAUCAUUACAUUGUGCGUCGGAACCGACUGUUUGGUUUAUCGCUUAAAUAGAGGUGUUAAGAUCCCAAAGCAGUUUGGUCAGAUGUUGUUUAUGGAUACACACAAUAUGUUUGUCAGACGGAAUGUUAAAAGAAAUUUACAUAAGAUGGAAGGUUUUCUUGCUGGGAGUGCUGUUUAAUGGUGAUGAGGAGGGUAGGGUAAAAUGGGAGCGGUAAGUUUCUUUUCCCUUUGUGAUAAUAGUAAUGUAAGGAGUAAAAUUUUUGUGCAUUAUAGAAAUGCUGGUAAGAUGCAUGGGAUAGUUGGAUCAUCAUAUAUAUAUAUAUAUAUUUAACCAUAUCAAUUAUUCAGCGAUCCAUGUUAAUGUACUCUUUAUUGGAACCCUUUAGAUUUAUAACAUAAGUGUAACAGAAUUUUUGUUAGAAUAUUCAAUAUAUCUAGUUGUUUUCUUUUUCCUAGCUAGACACCGGUUGUGUAUAAAUCAUCUUGUGCAAUUAUCACAUGUUGUGCAAUUAUUUGUUGUCGUAUCACAGUGGAAUUGUAUGAUGAGAAGUGAGAUCUAAUGAGAUACAAUACAAGUUUAAAAACUAUACAUUAUCAAAAAUUGUGAAAUUUAGUUCAAUUUCUAAAUGAAUUCUAUGGUUUAUUGUUGCUGAACUCAUGGGAUAUAUGGGAUGUUGCUUUUUUACUAAUACUAUUUAUUAGGUGUAUAAUAUGUCCUGAAGAGUGAAAACCAAAAAAAAAAUAGAGGAAGGUAUUUCCAUCGGUACCAAUUCAUACAAAAAAUUAAUAAAACGUGAAUUUUGAAACUCAUAUUACUGAACAUUGAAUCUCCUAGGUUUAUUUUUGCUUAUAUUUUUAGAUUCGCCACUAGGCUCUAAUAUCUGGAAUAGCCGAAUUGGCAAGCAUGUGUUUGAUGGCAAGUUCAGAACAUUAGACUCUGCUAUCUGAAAUUAUCGUAGACCGAUGGGAUGACCUAGAUCACAUAACCAAGGUCAUUCAUAUAAAGUCUAUGAGAUGUACAUAUAACAAACACUACACACCAUUGCCAAACACAUGAUGAUAUGGCGUUAUUUGGUAACACUCCAAAGAAAUCAUAUAUUGUGGCAUUCAUCUUAGUUUGCACAUUUAGUUAUCAGUUUUGAAUUAAUUGAAUUGGCAAUUUUACUUUAGGGUUUACGUGCAUUUUGUAUAAACAGAUACUACUCCAGAGUUUUAUUGUUGGUCUUAAUCCAAUUACAGAUAUAAUUUUUCAAUUUUCAAUUCAAUAUAGAAAUUGUAUUUAAAUAAAAAUAAAAAUAGAACGAUUUGCAAAAAAAUUUAAAAACCCUAUAUACACUCCUUUCCUCCUCUAAUGGUCAGUCACUUCUUUCAAAGAAAGUCACGAGGAGGCUUGGAACAGACUAGUCAAAUGCCAAAAAUUACCUUGCAAAACUUAAUUAAGCCAAGUCUUCAAAGUGAUCUCUACAUCAAGCCUCAAAUGAAUCAUAACGGAAUACAAACACCAAAAAAUGGUCAUUUGCUUGAAAAAUUACAAAGUUUCACCUUGCAUAUUUGAUUAAAUCGGUAAGUGGUUGUGCAAAAAAAAUUAUAACUCAAGAGUAUCAUGACUUUAUGUGUUUCAAUUUUGUAACCUUCUCAAAAUCCAGAGGAUGGAAGUUUCUUUCUACCUCCCAAGCCAACUGUUACAUACAAUUAAAUGUCGACUUUGCACCUUUUUCAUCGGUGACUUCUCUAGGGAAAUGAAUGUGGACCUAGAAUAAGCCGUAGUUAGGAGAAAACAGUCGCAUAUCCAAGCCCAGGCGAUCCACCCAUAUCAUCUUAGCUUCUGAGUCCUACAAUGGGAAAUCAAAUGCAUUAAAAGUUAACACAACAAAACUAACUUAUUGGUCCCCAAUAUUGUUUUGAAGUCACGUUUCUAUUUAGCAGUCAUAUACAUCAAGUAAUUUCUAUCUGGAUGUUGCAUAAACACGGUUAAAUAGCUACAUCAGGCGCACUAGUUAAAUAACCGGAUGAUAAUGAAAUAAAAAUGGACAAAAUGUUGUUGUUCAUGGCAUGCAUGAGAUGAAAGAGAAAAAGCAAGGGUGGUUUAGGCAUACAAAAUCCACCCAAAAAAACAACAGAAAGGAAAAGUACCUGGAAAUUCAAAUCAACAAAGACAUUACAAAAGCGAGUAAUGUCUUUCAUAGUAUUGGUGUUAAUUUCAACGAGUAAAUUCUCAGCAAACUCUCGAAGGGGGUCAGGUUGAGCAUUUUUGUAGUCUAAAGAGGUGAACCACACACCGUCCUGAAAAAUACAGCCAUAGUCAAUUUUAUAUCAAAAACCACCAACUUGCAAGGUUAAUAAGCAACGCAACCGGGUCAAGUCCCCGCCUCCUGGACUGGAAGUCAUCCAAACUAAUGACGAUUAAUCACAAUCACAAGUUUGACUAAACUAAUGACGCCAACAAUUUCAUGUGAAUUGUGGUCAUUCAUUCGUUGUUCGUGUACCAACGAGCUACUUCGGAGUUCAUCUGCAUUCAUGGAAUCUAAAUCAUGAGAUUAUUCAAUAGAACACACUACAUAAUCGUACAUGGAGGUUAUUGAGCGAAGAAUCUUUUCGACAACGGUAAGAUUCGACAUUUGGUCACUAUACAUUCUUAAUCUUGUUUACAAUUGUGAGAGUUCGAGCAAAAUAGUCAUUAAUUGAUUCUCCAUUCUUCAUCUGUAAAAUCUACCAGUCACGUCACAGGGCCUGAAGUUGAGCUCGCUUCCCUCUAGCAGUGACUUGGUAUUACUUUUUCAAGGAACCUGAUCUCCUUCGAUGUCUCGUUUUUUAAAAUUAUUUCAAGCACAACUCGAUCAAUUGCUUGAAAGAGGUGACUUUUUGCCUUAAAAAUCUUACAACUUUAGCUCAUCCAAUGUUUUCUUCUCGUUCUCAGUCAAUACAACACCGACAGCUUGUUGAGGAAUCCCUGGAUAUAUAAGAUUCCAAUACUCCUUUGACCUCAAAAAAUUCUCCGUGAGCAUUGCCCAAUUAUCAUAAUGUUCACCCGGUUUUGGAAUUGUAGGUUGCACGGAGUUGCUAAUCCCUGGUUGUAGUCAUGAUUGAAGUAUGCUGCUUCUAUUUACUGCUACACACCUAGCUAUGAUGCUAGAUGUUAACACAUAAAACAAAUUGGAAAGGAAAAUGCUUUGUUUUCACUUAUUGAAUGAAAAGGUCAAGUUUAUAGACUUAGCACUACAACUGACUGGCUACAAAAUAGGAAACUAACCCACACACAUCCUAAACAACACCCGUUUCAUUUGGCAAAAAGUUCGUCAAUAAAUAUAAAUCUUUUUUUUUUUUUUUAAAUGCAUUUAUUUAAAUUUUUUUCCAAAGAUAACCAUAAGUAAUACUACUGAAUUCGUUUGAAAUAUGAAAAAUCAAAAUUGAACUACAAAUGACAAAAUAGUAAUAUUUCCACACAAAAUGGACGCAUUAGUUAUGCUACAAACUUUUUGUAAUAUAUGUGAAAUUUGUAAUGGAGACUUAAUCUUUGUUUGCGAGUUUGAAGGGAAAGGGAGGGAAAGGACUAAGCAAGUGGAAGAAAUAGAGGAAAAUAGGAGAGAAGGGCUUUGGGGUUAAUUUUUCUUCAUAAUACAAAACCCUCCUCAUUUGGGGGAGCUCAAAAUUAUAUUGAAGGAGGGUUUUGGGGGUUCAUAUGAAUUCUUCAAAUUUAAUUUAUGUUGUUAUAAUAUUUUUAAAAUUAAAAAUAUAGUAAUCAUAUGCAUUAAUUUAUCAUUCUCUAAAAAAACUACUCUUUUAAAAUUUUUGAAAGAUUUCUCAAUUUUUUCUAAUAUUUUCCACCCUCCCAAACCUAAUUUCCUUCCCUUCCCCUCCCCUCCAAACUCCCAAACAAAGCUUUACAUUUAGGGAGGGAAGAAGUAAUGUUUUUUAAUGUGUGUAAAAUAAACAAGUGUGUCACUCAUUGUAGAAGGGAUAAAAUAAAUAUUUGUCAUGAUAUGAUUUCAACUUGAAUAAUUGAUAUCGUGAAAACUAGUUACUAUUGUAAGAACUAAUAGUUGAAGCUCCUGCUGUGAAUUCAUAACAUAAAGCACAACGAGUACUAGGAGUAGGAAGUACAUAAAAUAAAAAAUACCCAACAUAAAAGGUUUUAUAGAAAAAUAAGUAGAACAAAACAGAAAGAGUUUAGAAAUCACAUAGCCAAACAAAACUUGAGAAAGCAAUAAAUCGAAACAACAAACGCUGCCACCUGCCAAAUUAUUUGACAUCUACAUUCCCCUAUGUAUGUAGCAUGACUCACAAUUCAGCAAAACCAUCCCCACAUUCUUUUUGCAUAUGGUACUGCCUCUGCAAGUGAGGCUUUUGUCGACUCAACUCAUUAAAAUAUGUCUUGAGAACUUAUACAAUUAAUUCAAUAUCAAAUAUUAAUCUUUUAUAUUCACUUGCUUAUAGACUUCGAUGGCAUUUCUCUAAGAAAAAGGUGAAGUCUCAUGAAAAAGUUGUGUCCCUUUCUAAUAUUGCAGGCAUAUAUAAUCACAUUAAGACAUACAUCAGAACAUGUGCACAAAAGUAUGUGUAUUAGUUGGAGAAUAUGUUAAAACAACUAUGCAACCUCAUGAAACAUAUUUUAAAUGCCAUCGAAGUCUAUAAGCAAGUGAAUAUAAAAGAUUAAUAUUUGAUAUUGAAUUAAUUGUAUAAAUUCUCAAGUGUCCAUUAUUUAGAAUGUUGACGGUGCAAGUUCCCCUGCAAGUAUUCUCCAAUAAAAAAAUAUAUAUAUAUAUUCACAAAAAAAAGCCCAACAGGCCCACUGCAAGUUCCCCUGAGAAUUAAAGAUAGUUGUAGCAGAGUGAAGGUAAUUACAGACUAGAAUGCUCCUCUCCAAACUGAAUUCCAAUUAACAAAAUAGAAUGCCCCUCUCUACUCCCUAUUCUCUAUUUAUUUGCUAUCCCUAUUACCAUUAAGCUGGGAUUUACCAAUAACAUUUUAUUCUUUAAUCUAUUACAAUAUAAAAUUCAGUAUUUACAUAUAGAAUCAAUUCAAAAGUUUGGUAUGGAAAUUUAAAACAAAGAUUCUCUAAUUCAUUUUAACUAAUGUGCAUUGAAACACUAUACAUUUAUCAUUUGUGCAUUCAAUACCAUUUGCACAUUCAAUACGACUCAAAUCUGUUGAAUCUAGAGAAACUAGAGAAUUUGAGAGAAACAAAAAUUGUAUUAAUUGUUUGAAUGAAUUAUAUUGUGUGAGGCUGUACUGCUGUAGUCAUAUACUUGAGCCAGUUAGUUAGUUGCAAUCCUCUAAGUGUGAGGCUGUAGUCAUAUACUUGAGUCAGUUAGUUAGUUGCAAUCCUCUAACCGACUCAACACGUAUUUAGGGAGAGGGAACUAACAACCUAACUAACUCAGAAGCUUUUAUAGAGAACUUUAAACUAGUUGACUUGGUACAACUCUAGCAUUCUCCCUUACAGGUGGAGGGUGUCUCGACCAAGCUAAACUUUUCACAAAGAGAGCAAAACCUGGCAGCUGAAAGAGGCUUGGUAAGAGCAUCAUCCCACUGGUCUUGAGGAUGGACAUGGAAAACAAUUAAACUUUUGUUGAGUACUUUCUCUCAAAAAAUAUCAAACUCCAUAUGUUUUGUACGACUGUGCAGAAUUGGAUAAUGAGCUAGAUAAACGGUGCAAAGAUUAUCACAAAGAAUCUUAGGUGUUUUGAAUUUGCACUCCAGCUUAGUAAGAAUUAAGAAGUGAAUGAAUUUAGAGCAUUUCUGCUGAGAGAUUAGCUAAACUCCUAUACUCCGCCUUGGCACUGGAGUGUGCUAUACCAGGGUCUGCUUCUUUGACCACCAAGAAACUGGAUUAGGACCCAAGGUAAAUGCAGGCCCAUGCAGCAUCAUAAAAGCCAGUUGAGGAGAGGGGCUGAUGCACAGGAGCUAACUGCAGAAGUAAACCACUUGAGCAUGCCACAAAUUAUAACUAGUGUGUGAAACACGUGCAUAAUUAUUUGAACUCGAUGCAUCAACUGUUAUUCCAUAUUGCAAUAAGUACGAACACAAGAAUUUUAUCCAAGUUAUAUAAUACAAGGUAAAGCGAUGAAUAACAUUACAAUUUAAACUUAGGCCAUAUAAUACACAAACCGAUGAGCAAAUACACAUUUGUAAAUUGACAUUUAAAAGAAGUAAAUUAACUUUCUCGAAGAAGUAAAUUUGUAAACAAAAACUUCUUACAUUUUAGAAUUCAAACAUCAGGAAAGCUUUUCCAGAAUACUAGUCAAUGAUGCAUCCAUGGCGUAAAAAGAGUUCCCUCUUUUUGUCAUGGGAAAGAUAAUGAAGUGGAGCAACUAUCUUUCUGAAUGAUGGCCUUGAAAAUACCAUUGAGGCUAUAAUGCACUUUAUUACAACCGCUUAAAUUGAUCUCUCUCAGGUUGUGUGCAGUUUUUCACCACAUGCUUCACUCCCAUCUUUGUGAUACCUUCACAAUUUUGCAGUAAUAGUUGCAAAAGCCGACAACAACUCUUUGAGAUCACAUGAAGUGCUUCAUAAUAGACUCUUGUAUCUAUUAAGCUCAACACCUCAAGUUUGAGAACUCUAAUGUUCAUACCAUACAACUUCACUCUUGAGCAGUGGGCUAAGUUCAAAUGCCUAAUCUUAGACCAUCUAUUUAAAACUCGACAGAUACUGUUGUCAGAUAUGUUAUCACAAUAGCUCAAACCAAUUAGCUGCAAAUUCAGGAAAAUUGAAGCAAACAUUAUAAGGUAUUCAUCUCUUAACCAUGAAUUGUGAGCCAAAUAGAGAGAUUUUAAUUGAGGAUUGAAAACAAAGUCCAACAAGGAGUCAAUGAAACAUGAAGUAAAAGUCAAGAUCAUUGGGAAAGUCGGUGGAAAAGGAUAAAGAGGUCAAUGUUGGUCUCUGAAGGAGAGCAGAAGCAAUACCUUGAUUGGUUAUGUGAUAGCUAUUAAAGAUGAUAACCUCGCUUACAGUUUUUGAACAAGUGGAAAAGCAAUUAAGUCGCUGGAAAAGCAAGGGGAAACAGUUGGCAAUGAGAAAUAAGUGAGAGUAAUAAAUGAAGUUGAUCGGAGAUAUUCAGAGUUGUUAGUUGUUUCAAUUGGAAACAAGUGAGAGAGAAUCGGAGAUUAACUGUUUUGAGACGGCGGAGAGAGAUUUCAAGCAGUUGCCUUCCACUGUAUAAUCAAUCAUUUUCAUCAUCAAAAUCGACGAAUUUCAUGUAGCGCCGGUUGUAGUCUCCGUCCUCUUUCAGGGAUCUCAGAACAAAUUCCCAACAGCCAUUGUUUUGUGGAUUUGCAGACUUCAAGGGUAAUAAGUAGUACUGCUUGCUUCCUUCCUUUUAAAUAUAGCCAAAACUCAAAAUGUAUUUAAACCAAAUUAAGACCCAAUACAUUUUGAGUUUCUUAUUGGGCUUUUUUUAUUUUGAGUCAAAAUAGGGUUUCUUUCGCGUCCUAUUUUUUUACAAAAAUGCUCUUAGAGUUUUUAGAUUUUAUAAUCUCAAUUCAGUUUUUCCUUUGUUAUGGGAUGAACAAAAUGAAGUUUUCACUAAUUUGGAUCUUAUAAUUCAAAAAUCCCAAAAAAUUAGGGUAACAGAAAAUAGUUCGGAUUAUAUCAUCUCAACUGUAUCAGCACAAAUUAUGAGCAUGUUUAUAACAUGGAUAGUCAUUUUAAAGACCAUAUUAAUAUUCUCAUAAUUUUCAUCCUUCUGUUUUGGGUCAUUGUUAGUUCUUCUUAGUCAAAAAUCCAAUUUUCAGACUAAUUAAUUGGAUUGCUACGAAACUUUCCCAGAAACUCACAAAAAAAUCAAAGAUCAAGACUUCCUUAUAAGGGACUUCUUACGGGACUCCUCCCCUCAAAAUUCAAAAUAUCAUCGUUUAAACCCAUAUUUUUAGGAUUUUAUUUGACAUGUUUUUAGCAUUUUUUUACUUUGUUUUUUGGUUGUUUUUCAAAGCAAAAUUUAAAACUGUUGAAAUAGGAGAUAUUCUUAUCGUUGAUUAUACAUAAGCAUAUUUCGGAUUAAAAAUCGGAAUUAGUAAAAUAUAAUUUCGGAUUUUAAAAUCCGAAAAACCUCAUAAGCAUUUUUGUAAAUAAAAAAUAAAAAAUAGGACGUGCGAGAAAUCGGUAGGAUGAGAAAAGUAAUAGUCUAAAACAUAUGUUAAGAGACUCGGUGGGUUUAUUAUGGGGCUUUUUUAUUCUUCUACAGUGUAUUUUAUAGAAUUUUGCUCUUUACCCAACACAAAACAUUCGUGCCCAACUAAUUUUUCAAAUAUACCCGUGGGUUAAGUCACGCACCACUGGCAUGUGCGUGAGUUAAUCCACGCAGGUUGGCCGGUGGUCUGAGCUCAAGAACACACGUUUUUUGGACGGUGAUCAGGUUUUCAACCUUGAUUCUACACGUUUUUUACUGCAUUUAUUGUAGUUAUAACAUAUGUUACCAUUCCCACCUAUAAAUUCCCCUCCAAACUUCCCCAUUUUCUCACACCAUCUCACAUUUUCAUUCACUUCCUCACUCUCUCCCCCUAUGAAUCUCCUUUUCCUUCUUUUUUAGUCUUUAUUUUGGUGUAAAAAGAGGUCAGUCUUGGGGUAAAAAGAUGAUUGUUGAGCAACCUUCUUGGGGUAAAAAGAAGAAAAUUUAGUUUUACCCUAGGGUAAAACUAAAUGUGCAGAUUUAGUUUUACCCCAUGAAGGCUGGUUUUCUUGUGGAUUUCUUUUAGUUUUACUCCAGGAAGGUAGGUUUUGUUGUGGUUUUUUUUCUUCCGCAGAUUUAGUUUUACCCCUUUGUAAAUAUAAUAAGAAUUAUAUUAAUAAAAUGAUAUUUUAUAUCUAUUAUUUUUGUUGAUUUUUGCAUUUAUUUUAUGAUUGCGUAUUGAAUAAAAACUAAUUAAACUUAGCGUGAAUUCAAAUAAAAAUUGCGUAUUAAAUAAAUUUGAAUAAAAUUGUGUAUUAAUCAAAUCAGUUUAACACACGCAGGUGCUAAUUGUUGCGUAAGUUAACUAACGCAUAUAUGUACUCUUGCGUGACUUAAGGCACACCACGAGAGUUAACUAAGGCAGGAUUAACAAUUGCGUUAAUUAACUCACGCAGGAGUAUUUUGGUCAUUUUGGUUGGAUGGGAGCAAAACUUGUUGGGAGAAGAACAUAAUUCUAUUUUUUGUGCGUCUUAAUUUGAUUUUUUUCAUACUCAGAUUAUUAUAUAUGUUAUGUUUGGUAACUCCAAUAGACAUUAAGCUAUAGCUUAUUGAACUAGUUUAUAAACUUGUUUGAUAAAAUGAAAACAUAUUUGGUAAUAAGCUUUUCUCAUUAGCUCAUAGCUUCUUUUGAAAUGUUAUUUCAAGUAGCGUUUGAACUUAUAGCUUAAUAAUUUUUUUGUUAUAAAAAAGAUAGGCCCGUAAUCGUAAUGGAAUAUAUGAACUCUAUUCAAAGAUUAUAAACUUGAAGAUUAUGAUUUGCUCAAACAUCGGCUUUCUUUGUGGUUGUCAACUGAAUUGAAUUCCAUUACCUUUGGUAUUGAAAAGAAAAUAUGUAGAUCUGGUUUGACACCCUCAUUAACUUGAAUUUGAUCGUUUCAUUCGUGAGCUUCAAAAGAUUAAAUGUUAUUGAUUAUGAUUUCCAGGAAUCUCUUGAUCGUCGAAUUACCGAUCAAUGUAUCAACAAGUUAUCUACAUUUCUUCUUAACAUGAUUGUUUGUUUCCAGCUAAUGAACUCAUCCUUUUUCAUAAUCAAAAGAAACUACCCUUUACUCCGUGAGAUUAAAAUGGAGAGAACAUAUAUUGGAUUUGUGUCAGCCUUCAAGUGAAAGCAAUUUGUUUUGGUUAGAACAUUUUACUGAAUGAUACAAGUUUAAUAAAAGUUUCCAGUGAUACAAGUUUAAAUUCUUGUAAAGGUAUUUUGUGAGAUAAGGCCUUUAGGCCAAGAAUUGAAGAUGAAGUGGUUCGGUGGACUAUUGCUUCUGGACAUCCAUAUUUGUUUGUAUGGUUACAGCUAAGGGGGUCAUAGACGUAGUAGAAAAUUGAAGGUUAUUGAAACAGUUAAGUUUAAAGAAUUGCAGUAAAAGCUCUCUUGUCAAAGCGGAAAUGCGGCGCGGCGCGGCCACCCCAAAACUUGACACGGCGCAGGGUGCGGGCACGUAGCUGACGCUAUUUCGGUGAUGUGGACACUAAUAUAUUUAAUAUUAAAAUACUAUACAGUUGAGAAAAAUACUAAAAUUCCUUAAACAUUACUCAAAAUUCAUGAAGUAUUCUUAAUUUGAAAUAAAAGUCACAAGCCUUAAGCAAAACAUAAAACAUACUUGCAAAAAAUACUAAUAAAACUCAAGGAAACCGACACUUUAAGCCUCUAAAGCUUAAAGUAACAAAAGUGCAAAACAUUAACAAUUAACAAGUUCAUCCUCCCAAUUAACAAAUUAACAACUAACAAAUUGACAAAUUAACAAAUUCUAAAAUCAAGAGAUGAAGAGAGGAGAACAAAGAUGGGUUUUGUGAUCAAGAGAUGAUUAGAUGAGAAGAGGAGAUGGAUUUUUUUUGUUGGUACGAUGAAGAAGUUGUGUUUGAGGCUGUGUAUUUGGUUAUGAUAGAGAAGAGUAAUAGUUAUGGUUUUGAAAAUUACAAAAUUGACCCUUAAAACGGUUUUAAGUGAAAGGAAAAUCUUGUAUUUUACACAGGGUUGUAAAAAGCGUCCGCUUUGACCCACAUUGCGCCCGCUUCAGCCGCUUUCGCCAAACGCUCCGCGUUGGAGCGUUGCGUCGCGUUUUGCUGUUUUUGGCUGCUCCGUACUGUGUUCGGCCAUUAUUGACAACAUAGAGUAAAAGUAUUCAACACUUGUACGACACAUGUUAAAAAUUUCAGACAAGUACCCCAACUCCCACAAUAAUUUGUUUUUUUUUUAAUAAUUGAUGUAAGUUCACAGAAACGGUCCUUAUUGAUCUUUAAUAUUCGCUACUUGUUAUUUUUUAACGCUAUGAACUUAUAAAUAGAGUAGUAAGAGUACUACCAGCAAAAAGAAUACUACCUCCGUCCUUAAUUAUAAGACCCUUUUGAGAUUUUUUUUUGUCCCUUUUUAUAAGAUCCCUUUUCUAUUUCCAACUACAUUAAUUAUUUCUUUACAUACAUGCCCCUAUUUAUUAUAUAUUUUUUUCUUCAAUCAGCAAUAAAUAGAAUGCUGAAAACAUAAGCCAACCCUCUUUCUUAAAGGAUAAAAUUGUAAAAACAAUAGUAAUUACAAACAUAUUUAAUACAAAUAUCCACUAUCUUAAUUCCCGUUAUUUUUUCAAAAGGACCUUAUAAUUAUGGACGGAUGUAGUAGUUUAGUUCAUGUUGAUGAUGAAAUUUUGAAUUGUCACAACCAUGGUCGGUUCUAAAAGUUUCAGCAUCCUGGACGAAUUAAUAAAAUUGUACCUUUUUAAUUAUUUAAAUGUAUUUCUUCUUACAUUUUUUAUGGUUAAAGAUUCCGUCAUUAUCAAAGUUUUUUAAAAACAUAUUAUCAAUAUAUUAAUCAAAUUGAUGUAAAAAAAUGCCCUCAAUUUUACAUUAUCAAAAUUGAGGGCAUUUUUUAACAUCUUUCAGCUAUUUUGGGCUGACUUUUUCUUUUCAAAAAUGCCCUCAAUUUUAAAUACAAAUGACAAAGGUAACAAAUAGUUAAGAAUAAAAUUAAAUAUUUAAAAAAUAUAACAAACACAAUAUGAAUAUAUAUAUAUAUAUAUAUAUAUAUGUCUGGUUUUUUUUCCUUUAUCAUUUAAAAAGUGUAAAAACUAGAUGACUAUACUUAUAUUUAUUUUUUCAUUAUCCCAAUUAUAUCUUUAAAUAAUUUUUUCUAUAAUAAAGAUUGUAUUUAGAUUAUAUUUCUUUGAUAUAUUGUUGGUGUCAUUGAAAUAUAUAUUCAUGGUUAGUUUUGUUUGUUAUGACUUGAAAGCAACCAAUAUUUAUAUUUUUAGUUUUAAUCAAAAUCAAAAUUCCAUAAAAAAACACUGUUCACAAUUUUCAAACAUUAGCGCAUUAAAAAGAGCGGAAAGACGAGCAUAUGAGUGUCGUAUUUUCGCUAGUCUAUAUAAUAUUAAUUACUACGUAAAAAUAAUAAUUUGGUGCCCUUAUAAAAAUAGUGUCAUGGGCUAUCGCCCUCCCGCCAACCCUUUAGGCCACCCCUGGUCACAACAAUUUGGAAGUAAUGUUUGACACUUUCACCUAUUAAAAAAGGAUAGAAAGAAAAAAUAAUUAAAUUAUAUUCAUUCUAAAUUAAUUAUUUAAUAUGUAUUUCGAUGUUUGUAUAAAUAUUAAGCUUAGAAGACAUAAAUUAUAAACGUAAAUUAUCAAAAUACAUUAAUAGCAAAAUUGAAUUCAUAAUUUUAUGUAUUUUUUCAACAAUGGAACUUUUACGAAAAUUACGACAAAAAAUCAAGUUAACGUAGAACCUUCCGUUCAUACCCUUCUAUGUUUUCCUGGAAUGUCGCGGGAUGCAUAAAUUGGCGCGUAAAAACGGUUUCAUACACAUGUUUUAAUGAGAGUCAAUUCAUUAUCGAUUAGAACAACAUAGUUUAUUGUCUUUUUUUUUAGUUUAUCAAAAUACAUUAAUAGUAAAAUUGAAUUCAUAACUUUAUGUAUUUCUUCAACAACGGAACUUUUACGAAAAUCACGACAAGAAACCUAAGUCAACGUAGAACCUUCUAUUUAUACAUUCUAUGUUUUCCCGGAAUGUCGCGGGAUGCAAAAAAUUGGCGCGUAAACGCGGUUUCAUACACAUGCUUUAAUUGUUUUCCCGGAAUGUCGCGGGAUGCAAAAAUUGGCGCGUAAACGCGGUUUCAUGCACAUGCUUUAAUAAGAGUCAAUUCAUUAUCGAUUAGAACAACAUAGUUUAUCAUCUUUUACUGCUAGUAAGUGUUAAAAUUAAAUCACUUGAUUCUAUCUCGUAAUAAUAAUAUAAAGAGUCUUGUUGAGAAUUAAAAUUAAAAUUUUAGUAUCAGGAAAAACUCAAAUCUCUGUUUUUUUUUUUUAUCGGAGAUAAAUAUUCAUCCCUAAUUCCAUAUUGAAAAAAUAGAACUCCAUAUAAGAGUUUAUAAGUAGGAGAGACACUUCUUACUUUAAAAGUCACUUGUGUAAGGUUGAAUUAUAUCUAAUUUCAAUUUAAAUAUGGUAUCAGAGUCUAUUAAUUCAGAUCACCUAUCUAUCCACACAACAAAGCCAAUAUUGUUCGACGUUAGGGGAUGUAUUGAAGAAAAAAAUCAAGUAUUACAUUGAAAAAAUAGGACUUUAGCCAAGAGUUUAUAAGGAGGACACGUUCCUCACUUUGCAAGCCAAUUUUAUAAUGAUAAGUUAGAUCAUACUUGAUAUCGACAGAAUCGUUCCUUAAAAUUGAUAGAGAAAAGUUGGUUUGUAUUUGAAAGUAAUAGUUUAAAAGGGAGUACAAAAGAAUUGGUUUUUUAGUGGAUAGUAAAAUAAUAUCAUUUUUAAGGUGUAAAUACAUGUAUGUUUUAUGAAUCUUACACUUAAAAUCCAAUUUUUAUUAACAAAUAAUUUUUUUAAGGUUAAAUGUGUCAUUAAUCCUUGCAGUUACACCAUUUUUUGGGUUUGGUCCCUGUGCUUUUUUAGUUUGGUUUUAGUCCUUGCACUUUAGAAAAAAUAUGGUUUUGGUCCUUGCCGUUAAAAAAAUGUCAAAAUUAACAGAGUGCCACGUGACCCAAUCGUUACAUGCCAUGUGGCACAUCAAAAAGAAAUAUUUAAUUUUUUUUUUUUGGUAGAUAAAAAAUAUUUAAAAAUUUAAUUAAAUAAAAUAAAACAAUUGUUUUAUAAUUUGUUUUGUUAUUGUUAUUAGAGCUUACUGUUCAUCAUCCCCUUCAAUCCCACAUCAUCACCAUCACCAUUUAUGCUCUUACAACAGAAUUAUAAACUAUUCUUCUCUCAAUUUCAGUCAUAUCCCCCUUUCUUGUUACAAUACAAUUAUAGAUUACUCUUGUUCAAGGUUUGGUGUUCGUGCCUCUGUUUUUAGUGUAUUGUAACAGAAUAUGACACACAACCACCAUUUCUUCUUAGCAAAUUUUAUCAUUGAAUUGAACCACAAAAUUUCAUCUUUCAACUGGACUAUGAAGAGAUUGAUUCGCAUUCAAUUGAAAACCCUAGUUUCCAUUUUUUCCCCUUUCACAAAACCUUCGAUUGGCGUUUAUGUGCAAAUUGGAAUUCCUUCUUAACACUUGCAAUAAUAUUGACAAUAAAGGUGUUGAUAGUGAAGAAGAAAAACAUCAACAAUGCUGUUGUGAUGGAAUGGGAAUGCUACAGAACCGUAACACAAGAGGACUUGGCUUUUUAAUGUUAUGUUACUAAUAAUAUUAAAUAAAAUAGUAAUAAUAAAACUUGUCGAGAAAUGACUCAAAAUUGUGAUGCUGCGAAAGCUGAGAAUCGUGGCGCGAUUUUCAGAGGCGUGGCGCGAUUUUAUUGGCAGAAUGGAUGGUUUCUACUGAAGCAAAUUGUGACGCGAUUUUGUGCAGCGUGACACGAUUUGUGGAUAAGGCUGUUGUAUCUUGGGUCGUACACAAUGAACCGUGGCACGAUUUUGGCUGGCGCGGCGCGAUUUUGACAGAUCUGUCACACUAUUUAAGCAAUCUAUGACCCAUUUGUUAAAGAGCUUGGUGAAUCUCGUGGAAACCAAAGGAGAGAACUUUUAGGAUUUGUAGAUACUAAAGGUUGAGGGACUUUGGGUGAGGUUCAAAGCUUCAUGAUGUGAAUCUUGGAGAACCAAAAGAGGGGGCUCUUGUGAAAAGGGUCGGUGCCUUUUGGGGAAGAUUCAUGAGAAUGGGAAACACAUGAGUGGAGAGUCAUUUGUGAGCAACUUGGGUGAGUCUUGUGAAAUCAAAAGAGAAGAUCCUUAGGAAAUCAAAGGCUAAGGGUUGGUUCUCUUUUGUGGGUUAGAUUCUAGAGUUGGGAAACAAUUGUAAACACCUUGGGAGAGUGAAAAUUCAAUUAGUAUCUUGUUCAUUUGUGAGAUUGAGAAAAUGGGUAGAAAUUAGGUUUGUUCUUUGUGAGCUUGUUGAAGCUAAUUUCUUGUAACCCAUUUGUAUCGCUUUGUAAGAACUAAUUGAUAGUGGAUUGGAGAGAUCAAUCUCUCCUCCAGAGUAGGUCAUUGUUGGACCGAACUGGAUGAACAUUUCUUGGUGUUGUUAUCUUUUCUUUACUCUCUUUAUCUUGUUUAUCCUUUGGUUAGAUUGUGGUUUUGUUAUGCACUUGGUUUAUAGACUAGGUCUAUAUUGUUGUUGUUGUUUGUGGUUAUUUACAUUUGAUUAUUGGUUGCCACUGAUACUUGCUCCACGAAUCUAAAUUUCAUUGAUGUGAGGUUUGGAAUUUGAGACCGAAUUCACAACAAAACUAAUUAUAAAACAAUUGUUUUAUUUGAUUUAAUUUAAUUUGUAAAUAUUUCUUUAUGUUGUGCCACAUGGCAUGUAACGAACUAUAGUUUGUUCUCAUAAAAAAACCAUCUUCAACUCUCAAAUUUGAUUAUUUUCAACGCCAAUGGUAAACCAAAUAGGCACAAACACGUGUGAAAGCAAGGAAUUGGAUCAUUUGGAGUUAGUUUAAGUCUUUUGAAGUUAAAUAUCAUGACUAAGAAGUAUAUAGAAUUAUUCUAUUAUUGACGAUAAAACUCAUGUUCAUAUGUGCACUUUUUUACAUUAAUUUAGUUGGGAAGUCGUGAACGAAGUUGCCACACUUUUUCUCUAAUAACACUUGUUAAUUCUCUAAUCUCUAGUCAAUUGUCUUACGCUUAUGUCCAUUUUGAGCUCAUCUAUUUUUUCUGAAUGAAUGAAAAUGAAACAUUGGACUUUGCCAAGAGUGUAAUUUGCUCCUAAUGUGAAACAUUGACCUAUGGUUGGUUGUAUUUUAUAAAGACCGUAGUUUCAAACAAGUGAACAACUACUUUUUUAUGAAAUGGUUUUUUUAGGGCUUUCGUCGUGACUCUAGAAAUUUACUCUACUAAAAUAACCAAGUUCUCCAUGGCUACGUCCCACACACACUUUUGGUUGACAAAAUUAUUACCAUGUGUUAAAACAGGAAUGUUUGACCUUAUGGGACAAUGACGCUGAGGUUCAUAGCAAAUUCGAGUGAUUUUGCUUCCAAUAUCAUAAAAUAUAUUUUGUAAUUCGUAAUUCAGCAAUAACAAGCAACAUAACACAAGGGAUAAUCAGUGUUGAAAAUAUUAGGAAACAAGUCAAUGAGUUGCUCAUGUGUUGCAAGGGCGGCUUUGUCUAUAUAACUAAUUUCUGUAUCUUUAUCAAUAUUCCUCCUUGUAUAUGUGAAACUAUCAUUAAUGAAAUGUUUUGCCUUUCAACGUAAAAAAAAAAAAAAAAAAAAAAAAAAAAAAAAAAAAAACGACAGAAGGGACAAUAUUUUCAACAUGAUACAAUGCAUGAUUAGUAUUAAAGCAGGUUUGUUGAAAUCACGUUAAGCCACCCUAAUACCAAACAUGCAAAUAGGUUUAGGUCAUUAACGACCAACAUGACACGAUGAAUAAUUAGUGUAGAAACUCCAAGAUUGAAUUUAUUAGAAAACAAGCUGAUGAGUUACUCAUGUGUGUUAGUAAGGGUGACUUUGUCUAUAGCUAGUUUCUACAUCUUUAUCGAUACUCUUGUAUCAGUGAAACUAUCAUUAAUGACAAAUUUUGUCUUUUAUCGUAAAAAAAUGACACAACGGGACAACAUUUUCAACAUGAUAGAGUGCAUGAUUGGCAUCAAAAUGGUUUACCGAAAUCACGUUGAAUCACCCUAAUACGAAACAUGUGAAUAGGUUUAGGUCAUUAUGCCAUUAAAGUGGAUAUGCAUAUAAACAUGUUUGUUCCCUUUACAGUUCAAACUUAUAAUUUUAGUAAUAAUUGAACCUCAACUCAAGCCUCUUCCCCCACCUGCGGCCAACCAACCAUCUAUUGCUGGUAGGUACCCCCAAAUGGUACCUCCAUUUCAAGCAAUUACCAGAUUUAGAAAAUACUGCAAUGUUUUUCUUGGAGAAUUGUAUAGCCAUACCCAUAAUCGAUGAAACCAAACGGAAUGAGAGAGGCAAGUACACAACUCAAUCCAUCUCCGCAAUAAGCAAACUUGCAAAUGAAAAAUGUUGAGCUAUGGUUUACCAAAAAAAAAAAAAAAAAAAAAGAAGUUAAUAUCUUAAUCUUCAUCUUCUAUGGCAUGUAAAAACUAGGAUCCCAUACAGCAAUUAGCAAGCUUUAUUUCUUUUAAAACACACAAAAACACUGCCAAAGUUAAAACACCUGAAAAGUGCAAAAUCAGGUGUUUUAGAGCAAGAUUAUGUUCCUUCUUUCAAUCUUCCUAUUUACAAGGUGAAAAGCAACAAUGAUAAACUUAUGCAGUUGUGCAAAGAUUCCAUCUCCAUUGACCCUUUAUACCACUAAUGAUGCUCUUUUCUUUCAGCAAUUAGUAUCCAUUUGAAGAGCAUAGAAAGGUUACCUCUAAUGUAAAUUGAGAAAGACAAGUUAGAGCAAAAAAGAAAGAAAAAAAAUACAAAAUGUGUCAACAAAAAAACAGCAUCCUUCUGAAUGAAUGAACCAAAAUGGGGACCCCAAAAACAACUAUCCCCAACUCAACAACAAGGCAUAACAUCAUCAUCAUAUAUUACAUAUAGAUUAGAUUCCCUAUUUUACCAAUUAAAGUGAAAAAGAACCUAUGUUAUAAAUGCUCCACAACAAGAAAUCACUAUACCAUUACCAUAACUCAAUCUAACUAUAUAGAUAGAUAUAAACCAAAUUCAAAUACCGUUUUUCCAUUAGCACUAACAACAAAAAUCAACCAUUCAUGCACAAUCAUUUAGUUUAGCAUAAAAAGAUAAAAACAAAAUAAGUAAAAGAACACUCACAUGAUAAUUUUAAGCAAAUAAAGGAAGCAUAAGCAUUGGAUUACAUUUUGUUACAUUCAUUCAUAAUAACAUUUAUAAUAAUAGAGAUAACCAAAAAUAAAAGUUCUAGAUUCAUGUAAUAGUGAUUGAAAUCAGCAAUCUUCAAUCAGCAUCUGAUGCUACCAAUUCAGUUCUUCUUCAACAUCUUUUGAAAAUAGUAAUAAAAAUAAUUAAAAGUAAAAAAAACAACAAAAAUUACAUUGACGAACUAAGAAGAUUGUGAUCUUGGUGGUGGAGGAAGUAACUGAUGCAUAUUUGGAGGACUCUGAUUAUGAUUAGAACCAUUUCUCACAAGAAAAGGAUGUGAAAGCAACCUCGAAGCAGUCCAUCUCCUCGACGGAUCUCUCUGCAAACACCUAGAAACGAAAUCCCUGAACUCCGGUGAAGCAGUCGUUGGAGCUUCUGGUGGUUGUGACAUACAAAUUGCACACAUCAAACUCGCCCAAUCACCUUGUCUACCAACCGCAAAUGGAAACCUUCCCAUAUAAAACUCCAAUAUACUCACACCUAAACUCCAUAUAUCACCUGCGUAUGCAUCAUAUUGUCCAUCGUUGAUAUCGGUGUUUAUCCUCUCCGGUGACAUGUAAGCAAUUGUUCCUACCGAUGAAUUACACGGAUCCAUCGUUUGAUUCAGAAUUCUUCCUACACCAAAAUCAGCAAUCUUCACCUGUUUCCGUGAAUUUAUCAAGAGAUUCGACGGUUUGAUAUCACGAUGAACGAUGUGACGACGGUGGAGAUACGCGAGUCCACGGAGGAUCUGACGUGCCACGUCAGCAAGUUGAUUUUCCUGCGGAAUAUGUUUCCCUUCGAGAGAUCCACCGUCCAUGUAUUCAAGCAAAACCUGAAUCUCAGCGUUGUGAUCGUACAUCUCAUGACACUUGACGACGUUAACAUCAUCAACAUCACGCAAGAUCUGGAUUUCACGAUGGAUCUGACGACGAACUGAUUCCUCGUGAUGUCCGUAUAUCACCUUCAAAGCAUAAGCACGACCGUUGAUUCUGUGAACUACUUUGUAAACCGUUCCUCCACUUCCACUUCCGAUCCGGUUCAAUCUUUCUAGCUCGGAAAACGGAAUCACUAGCUGUUGACUUGCUCCUCCGCUUCCGCUACCGCUUCCGUUUCCUCCACCACCGCUGCCACCAGAUGGUGGCAGCGGAAGUGGAACAGCGAGGUUAGUGUCACGCUGAGGAAGCGGUAGAGUUAGGUGAUCUCUGCGGCGGCGUUGAGGGCGGCUGUUGUUGUUGUUUGGUGAACCGGAAGCGGUGGCUGAACCGGUGGAGGUUGGUGGUGGAAGCUGAAUCGGCCUCAUCUCAUUUCAAAUGAAAGAAAAUAUGAAAUAAAUUAAAUAAAAGUAUAUGGAGUUUAGAUUGAUUGAUUGAUUGAUUGAUUAAAAAUUAAUAAUAAUAAAUAACUAUGAUAGGAAGAAAAGAAAGCAUGGUGAGGAGUGAAUAGAAGAGAAGAGAAGAGAAGAGAAGGUUCCGGGAAGUGUAUGAGAAGCGAAAGAGAAAAUUGUUUUGUGAUUAGAGAAAAAAAAUGAAAAGAGGUGAAGGUAAGGUUAUUUGAUAGAGAAGAGAAAAGAAAAUAAAUAGAAAAUGAAAAUGAAAAUGAAAAUGUAAAAUGAAAAAGUAAGUAAUUAAUUAUUUAGAGCUGAGCCUCUGAGCUAGAGAGGUGGAAGUGAGAGGUUGCUAUCAAAAGAGGGAAUCCAGAUUUAAAAGAGAUGGGGUCCACGCGCCACCAGGGCCCGUGCGGAACGUGGACCAAUCAGAUUCCGGCACUCUUUCUCAUGUGUAGGCUUACAUCUAUUCUAUUCAUGUACAUGGUUGGAUUGGAUCAUUGGAUCAAAAUCACUUCACAAAUGUCUAUACUCUAUAUUAGAGAAAGAUUAAGAAAAGGAAAAUUAGUUCUUAUUGUGAAAAUAUAACAAAAAUUGUUUCUAAAUUUUACAAAUCGAUAAGAACACCUUUUUUUAGAUAGGAUAAAAAAUUAAAGAAUCCCCUAAAUUAUAAUGGUGUCAAUUAAAAAAAAUUAUUGAUUAAUUUUAUCUAUAUUAAUUUCUACAUUAAUGUUAUAUUAUUAAAAAUUAAAUUGUAUAAAGAAUUUAUAAAGUAAAAAAUUAUUUAAUGUUUUCAAUUUUGAGGUAUCAUUUUUAUAGUAUAUUUGGCUACCCGUUCACGUAGCAUGGCUCGAUUCUUAAAGAUGUGAUUUGUGAGAAGCUUCAAUUUGUCGUUUUGGUUUAAAUGUGUUUCAACCUUUUUCGUUGUAAACAAAACGGUUGUUUAAAGUUGACAUCAAAUGUAUGGAUUAAUGUGUAACGUAAUAUCCAAUUUGGCGGCUCGAUGCUUAAUGAUGUGAUUUGUAAGAAGCUUCGAUUUGUAGUUUUGAUUUAAAUGUGUGUUUCAACCUUUUUCGUUGUAAACAAAUGGUUGUCGGUUAUUUAAAGUUGACAUCAAAUACAUCGAUUAACGUAAUAUUGGCAAAAAAAAAAUGUGUCACGUAAGUUUUCGAUAAUGUAAUAUUUAAGUAAGAUUCAUACAUGUUAAAUGUUAUAUGCUCAUUUAACAUAUUUCCUUAUACCUAGCACUAACUAAUAUUUACGCGUAAAAAAUGGCAAAGACGAUUUGCAUAUCAUUCCCCUGUGAAGGACCAGAUGAAUAUUAUAAACACCAUACUCCCUUUGUCUCAUAUAAGUGAGUUUUUUUUGCUCAUUUCACGCAUAUUAAGAAAAAAUAUAUAUAAGUGAAAACAUAGUUGUAAAACCCGGCUUGGACCGGCCAGUCGGAUAGGUUCGACCGUGAAUCAGUAAGAAAUCGGUUCGAGCUGCUUAUUGGAUCAGUUAUGUUUUCAAACCGGUGGGAACUGUAACGCCCACUUUCGUUUAAUCGUUUAUUUAAUCGAGUUUAGGUGAUUAUAUUAAAAUUAUAUAAUAUAUGCAUGAUUUUGAUAUGUUUUGAUGAUUUACGAUGAUUUGAAUGAUUUGAUCGAUGACGUGAUAAGUUAUGAGUUUUGGAAGAUUUGAUAAGGAUAUGAGAAUUAUUUUAUUGUUAAAUAAAAUAAAGAUUUGAAAAUAAUAUAAAAUAUUUAGUUGAGGGUUGUUUUGAUAUUUUAGAUAGUUUUAGGGGAGAAAGUGAGAUAAGAUAAGUAAUUAAGAAAAUAUAUAAAUAGGGAAGACCUAAUUUUUAGAAAAACUGAUUGUACGUGAAAACUUUUGGAAAAAGGGAGAAAAAGCUUAGAGAGGAGCAAGAGACCAAGAGGGCUGCGAUUUUCUGCAAAUUUAAGGUAAGGGUGAGACUAAUAACUCAGUAAUAUUAGUUGUUGUAAUUCUGAUGAAUAAUUAGCAAGAAUUAGGAUUAAUUGGAGAAAACGAAAACUAGGUCAAAACCUUAGAAUUGAUGAUCAAACGGUGAGAAUUGGUUUAAUUGAUGUAG